Molecule: long non-coding RNA, 56782 nt
Filed under: Triticum aestivum (bread wheat)
Lineage: Eukaryota; Viridiplantae; Streptophyta; Magnoliopsida; Poales; Poaceae
Description: long non-coding RNA (TAES_LNC028330)
Rfam family: MIR1120/MIR1122 microRNA precursor family (bases 24376-24462)
Source: RNAcentral
GCUCGAGAGGAUAGAUAACUAUGGGCCACAGACACAUGUGGAGUUCUUUGUUUUGUAAUCUUCAGACAGACGUGAACAAAACAAUUCGAGCUUUUAUGUACUCUGCUUAAUCUGCUGUGCUGUAUUACUGUUCUUUGUGUGGUGAUUGAUUGAUUGUAUGUGUUAUUAUGGGGCUAGGGCCAUAUGAUAUUUUCUAUAGUUUACUUCUAAAGAAUAUUUUUAUAUUUUUUGCUUCUUGAAACCACGACUUUGAAUAAUUUCAUCUACUGAAUAAUACGUGUCUCAAUUCCAGAAAAAUAUCAUAAAAAUGAAUGUAAAAUAUGUGUUCCAAUCCCAAACUUUCUGUCUCAGUGGUAACAACUAAUCAAACUUUUGCUAGCUUAAAGAAUAAUUAUAUUAUUAUUUUUCAAUACAACCAAAAUUGUGCCAGCAAAGGGGCAUGACUUAAUUUGCCUUUUUCACUGUAACAAAAAAAUUUAGGUACCUAUUUAUCAGUUUAGAUGUAUUAUGUUCUUUUAGAAGGAGGCCCGGAAUGGGGAUAACUUUUUUCUGACGUGAUGCAAGGGAGAGGCUUGCGAACGUACCAUGCUAGAGUGUGAUGACCAAGCUCAUCGCCUUGAAUUUUCAUGUUCGUCAUGAGGUGGACAAUGUGACCAUGUUGGCAAAGACAGUGGUAUACCGGAUGGAUCACUUGGAGGGAUUUGUUUCUUCCGUUGCAACGCACGGGCAUAUAUGCUAGUGUUACCUAACAAAGCAACGAGAAUAUGGCGAACGACCACCAAUGGUACCUAACAAAGCAACGAGCAUAUGGAUAACAAAUAAGAAAGAUGAUUUUCUCUUCUCAUGAGGUGUCGGUGUCUAUUUCGAUUACUUGUGGAGAUGGGGCUUCUCCUCUUGUCCAGGUUGGGUGUUUAUUUCGGGAUGGAGUGGGGCCCGUCUAUUUUGCUUUUUUUCUUCUUCUUAGAUUUGGUUCCCUGCUAGCAUCGACGAGGUGGUGGUGUUGAUGGUGCGUUGAUCAGGCGGAGACCAAGGGCAUGUCAGAGUUUUAUGUCGCCGGAUCUGUUGGCUGUCGUCGAACCUUGGCAGUUAGUGUGUCUAUCAAGGAGAGCAAUUGGCUAGCUAUUGGUGCAACGACUUCGACAUCUUCCAUGUUUGUUCUAAGGCAUGGUCCAGUUUCAUUAACACUCUGGACCUGUGAUGAUGGAUUGUAAGCGUGUACUGUAUCGAGUGAUGAUCCAUCCAAUGCUGCUUCAACAAUUUCUAAAUCUUGCCUCAAGGGGCGAGUGGCUACCGAAGCAUGUACUAUGCUUAAUUUGUACUAGUAUUGUACUCUUUCUUUUUUGCAUCGAAUUGGGAACUUUAUUAAGGAACUAACAUCCUGUUACAAUCUACCAUCAGGCAACUGAUGAGAAAAUCAGGGCUUUGAUCAAGCCAACUUUCUGUCCCAUCUAGCAUACAAGUACGCUGGGCACACUGAUGAGCCGGCAUAUUAAGAGCCCUGCCGACAUAAUGAAACAAAAAAAUAAACAAAACUAUACACUAUGUCAUCCAAUUUCUUUAAAAUAGGUGUCACAGUUGAUCAGGAGCGCACAUUCCAUAGGUUAACUAGCUCCAAGCAGUCCACCUCCAUUAUCACAUGUGAAUAACCAUGAAGCCAGGCAAAGAUCACCCCCUCACGAAAGCCAAAAGUUCAGCAAUGAAUGGAUCCAACAUUCCUGGCAGGGACUUGGUCCUUGCCCCAAGGAAUGGCAGAUGUGAUCGAGCUAGUCCUCCCACUCCUCCUGUCAUGGCAUCAACAAAGACUGAACCAUCGGUGUUGAUAGAAUGAUAGUCACAUAUGCCAGGUCAGGUGGCCUCCAACAUUGUCCUACCGGCGUCCGUGUCCGGCUCGAUGGAAGCUCGAGCAGGGAUGGUGUUUUGUGAACCCAUGUGCUCGCCUGCACCGAAUCAUAUUCAUCACGAUCAUGACUCGGCCGAUUGUGAGAUGACCAAAUAGAGUGCAUAAUGGUGAUAAUUUUGCAUUUUGCGUUGUGUGAGAACAUCUGAUCCAGAAAAAUAUCCCGAGCCCAAGUUUCUGAUGAAGCCUCAGUACAUGAAGAUCAAACCGAUCCUUGGCAACAAUCCAAAACUUCUUUGCGUGAGUGCAGCACAGCAUCUGAUGAGCGCAUGCAUCAAAUUUUCAUCCAUGGCCUGACGACCGAGCUAAAUCUGACAGCGGCGCGGGUGCCCGAAACUCAAGAGGAUAGAUAAUUGAGUGUCACUUAGCAGACAAGCGUGGUGCCAUUCUGGCUCGCUACAAACAUAUGGGGAGAUCUUAGUUUUGUAUCUUCAAACCUGGAUAAAGAGAACAGUUGGACCUGUAUCUUCAACAGUACUCUUAUUAAUCUGUGUGGGGCGUGCCACGGCCUGACACUGCGGGAGGAAGGAAUAUCCAUGUAUCAGGGGCAUAAAAUUGACACGAUACACCAAGCUACGUACGUUGGCCGCUCCAUCCAAACUCCAAGCCCUAACACGUAGAGUACGUUAGUUAAUCCACGGACAGAUCGAUUCAUCCAUAGGCAUCGACGACCAAUGUCAUCUCUGCUGUGGCGUUCUGCCGCCGCCGCCGCCCGACGGCAGCUCGGCCGGCCGCCCUCCGCGAGGACGACGAUUCGCUCCAUGGCCUCCUCCUCUUCCUCAUCGGAGAACACGAAGGUUCACUCGCUUCUACCAUAUACCCAAUCUAUUUGAUUUGGUUUACUGCUUCCAUCUGCCUGCAUGGUUAACAAACAAUGACGAUCCACAUGUGAGUGACAGGGAACAAGCUGGCUCAUCAUUGCCAACAUCGUUGUAUUGUCGGCGUGGAUCACCCGGCUGAACAACAAGACCAAAGCGCACACGGAGGAGAUUCAGAGGCUGCAGGCGUCCAACACCGAGCUGCAGGACCAGCUGAAGCGGGAUCUCACGAGCAGGCGGCGCGCCACAAACCGAGCAAAUUGAGAGAUAUUUGCGUGCUGGUAGACGCGUACGUGCAUUGCAGACACAUGUGGGCUGUUACUUUAUUUCUAGCUCGCUACAGACACAUGUGGAGUUCUUCGUUUUGUAAUCUUCAGACAGACGUGAACAAAACAAUUCGAGCUUUUGGAGCUUUUAUGUACUCUUCUUUGUAUGGUGAUUGAUGAUCGAUCGAUGGUUCUUGUUAUAUUCCUCAAAAGAUUAGUCCGGGAUGUCUACUGGUGGGUGCCAAGUUAAUUUGAUCCAAGCAACCUCUUGUCUUUGUUACUAUUUUGAAUUUCAGUUUUGCUAUUUCACAUCUAGAUGUGAAAUAGCUAUCUCACAUCUAAGUCAGGGAGCCGUUGGAUCUCGCCUGGCAUUAAUAUUCGUCAAUUCGUGCAACUGUGAUCCCGUACAGCAGUCCUCCUCAUCACGAUGUGCCUCCGUAUCAUCAGUGUCUGGGCCUGUUUUUUUGAUCGCAUGUCCACACCAGAGAAGAGGUCGUGAAAACGCUGCUUCGCAUGCCCAGGCCUAUUGUUGUGGGCCUUCGCUUCCUUUUUUCUUUUUCAAGUAGGAAUUGUACAUGGAAGACUCAGUCCUAGUCCUCACUUUUCUGUACUCCUCACCACCCUGCGUUUGUUUUUGUUUUUGUUUUUUCAUUUCUUUUUUUCUUUUUUGUAUCAUUAUUUGUUCAAAAUAUGGACUAUUUUGUAUUCAUAUUGUUUAUAUUUUCCGAAUUGCUAACAUCUAGAUGUUUUUUACGAAAAAAAUCAAGAUGUUUUUUAAGGGUGUCAUCUUAACCGUUUGAUAUAUCACACUGUAACUGUCGUGCAGGGUUGAUUCAUGUCGUGCACUUCGUACGCUCGCUGGCCGCGCACGUCACUUGGGCUAUUGUUCUUCUUUGUUGGUCCAGGCUCUAUUUGCACGGACCCGUCUGUUUCCUUUUGUUAUUUUUGUCUUUGCUGGGCUGCCGUUGUAAGAAUUCCAAGCCGCUAUUUGUUUUCAUGCCCAUAUGGUGUACGAUAUAGGACUGGUUGGUUUCACCUCUCACUCUUUUUCAUCCCGUUUUUAUUCUUUCUUUUUUUCAUUUUUAAAUUUCGUGAGUGUAUUUUAAGUUCAAAACUUUUUUUUAAAUGACGUCUUAUGUAAGUUUGUCAUUGUUUGACUUAGUUUCCAUAAUUUUUGUGCAAGCGCAUUAUCUUUCGCUUUGUUUGUCAAUGUUUGUUUGUAGUGUAGUUGUUGGCCUAGGUCUGUUUGGCUUCGCUUUUAUCGACCCAUUAUCACAUCCCACAAGCAACCCAUUCCCUAUGUUUCUAAAUUGCGACAUAGAAUUGUACUCCCUCCGUCCGAAAAUAUUUGUCAUCAAAAUGAAUAAAAAGAGAUGUAUCUAGAACUAAUAUAUGUCUAGAUACAUUCCCUUUUGUUCAUUUUGAUGACAAGUAUUUCCGGACGGAGGGAGUAUGAGACAAGAAAAAGGAAGUCCUAUCAUGGUCGGGGCCCCAUUGUAAGUCUACCUUCGAGGACUCGACUAUUUUUUCUCUUAUUUUUUUCUCAGUUGCAAGUCCAACCUUGGCUGGUAAUUGGGGGCCUGAGCAUUUUUGUCCCGCUUAUAAGUCCACCCUCAAAUCUCAUUUAGGGUUAGAACUUUUUUUUUGUUAUUGUCGCAAUCCCACCCUGGACUCACAACUAGGCCCCAACAUUUUUUUUGUCCCAGUUGCAAGUUCACCCUCGACUCGCAACUAUGGCCCAACAUUUUUAUCCUAGUUGCAAGUUCACCCUCAAUACGGAACUGGGACCUGAUAUUUUUAGUCAUAAUAGCAAGCCCACCCUGGACUCGCCACUGAGAUACGACUUUUUUUGUCCCAGUUCCAAGCCCACCAUCGACUGCAACUAGGGCCAACCUUUUUUUGUCCUAGUUGAUAAUCCAGCCUCGACUCAAUACUAGGCCAACCAUUUUUGUCCUAGUUGCAAGUCCGCCGCAACUAGGCCCAAACUUUUUUGUCCCAGUUGCAAGUUCAGCCUUGACAUGCAACUAGGGCCCGAUCUUUUUUGUCAUAGUUGCAACUUCACCCUUGACUCGCGACUGGGGCCCAUCAUUUUUUUGUCCUAGUUGCAAGUCCACCUUCGACUCGCAACUCAGGCGACCUUUUUUGCCCAAGUUGCAAGUCCACCAUUGACUCUCAACUAGAGCCCGACCAUUUUUUGUCCCACAUGCAAAUCCACCCUUGACUCGUAACUAGAACCCGGCCUUUUUUUUUGCCUCAGUUGCAAUCCAACCCUCGACUCGCAACUUGGUCCGACCUUUUUUUGUCCCAGUUGCAAGUUCACCCUCCACUCAGAAGUGGGGGCCGGUCUUCUUUUUCCUAGUUGCAACUCCACCCUUAAUUCGCAACCGGGGUCCGACCUUUUUUGUUCCAGUUGCAAGUCCAUCCUCGACUCGGAACUGGGGUCCGACCUUUCUAGAGUCCAUGACUUUUUAAAUUUAAUAAGAGUAUUUUAAAUUUAGAACUUUUUCAAAUGAUGUCUUAUCUAAGUUUGUUAUUGUUUGAUUUUAGUUUCUGCAAUUUUUGUGCAAACGCUUUAUUUCCGCCUCGCUUGUCACUGCUUGUUUGUCGCGUAUCAUAUUGUUGGCCGUUGCCUAUUUGGCUUUGCUUUUGCCGAAUCAUUAUCACAUCCCACUGGCAACUUGUUCCCUAUGUUGUUUCUAAAUUGCAACAUAGAAUUGGAAGACACAAGAAAAAAGAAGUUCUAUCAUGGUCGGGGCCCCGCUCUAAGUCUACCGUCGAGGGCCCAACUAAUUUUUCUCGCAUUGUAUUCUCAGUUGCAAGUCCACCCUUGACUCGCGACUGGGGCGUGAUCAUUUUUAUCCCAGUUGCAAGUCCACCCUCAACUCGCAAUUGAGUUAGGCAUUUUUUCUCCGAGUCGCAAUGCCACCCUCGACUCGCAACUAGGCCCCAACACUUUUUCCCUAGUUGCAAGUCCACCUUCGACUUGCAACUGGAGCCCACCUUUUUUUGUCCCAGUUGCAAGUUCACGCUCAACUCGCAACGAGGCCCUGAUCUUUUUGUCCUAACUGCAUGUCCACCAUCCACUCGCAACUGAGAUCCGACCUUCUUUUGUCCCAGUUGCAAGUUCACCCUUGGCUCGCAAUUGGGGUCCACCUUUUUUAGUUGCAAGUCCACACAAUCUACACGCAAAUAGAGCCCGACCUUUUUUGCCCCAGUUGCAAUCCAACCCUCGACUCGCAACUGGGGCAUAACCUUUUUUCUCAUAGUUACAAGUCCACCCCCACUUGCAACCGGGGGCCGAUCUUUUUUGUGAUAGUUACAACUCGCAGAAGGGGUUUGGCCUUUUUUUGUUCCAGUUGUAAGUCCAUCCUCGACUCGCAACUAUGGUCUGACCUUUUUUUUCUCCUAGUUGCAAUCUCACCCUCGACUUGCAACUGGCCCCUACAUUUUUCCUAGUUGGAAGUCCACCCUCGACUAGAAACUGGGGACCAACCUAUUUUUGUCCGAGUUGCAAGUGCACCCCCGACUCAUAGUUGGGGUGAACCUUUUCUGCCCCAGUUGCAAGUUCAUCCACUACACGUAACACCUUUUGAGUCAUAUCAUUUUGUAUAUAAGGCUAGCUUGUUCACCAAUUCAAAAAAUGUUCAUGUUUUAAAAAAAUCUAGAAUUUUUAAAAUGUUUGUGUUUUAAAAAUUGUGUUCGCCAAUUCAAAAAAAAAUUGCUUCAAUUUUGUUUUAGAAUUUCAACAGAUAUUCUAAUUUUCAAGUUUUGUUUAAAAAUUCAAAAAAAUGUUCUGGAAUUUUAUUUUUUAUUAAAUUUUUGAAAAAUGUAUAGCAAUUUUAAAUAUUGCAGCUACUGGGCCCGAUGUUUUUUCUGCCUCAACUGCCCCAGUUAGAAGUCCACCUCAACUUGCAACUGGGACUAACCUUUUAUUUUUACAUUGCGUAAACAUUUAUUCUAAACACAAACACAUUUUUGAAACACUUGAAUAUUUUUUAAAGAGAAUUAGUCAUGGCUUUAAGAUUUGUGUUUUUAGCUUUUUUUUAGGCUGGUCCUGUACUACUUCCUCGAUCUGCAUGUGGCAUGUCCAUUUUGCAUGUGGUUUUUGUCCAUGUGCUUUGGGCCAUUCUUUUGUUUUUCUUUAGCAAAUUUUCACGUGUGUAGAAGAUGAGGGACUUGAGCUCUCGUGUAGUAGUUUUAGUAGCACUAUGUGUCCACACAUACUUGCGUUGCACUCGUAUGAGCCUAACAGUGCACUGGCGCGAAACAUGUUGUGCCGGGCUGGACUAAUGUCAACCAAAACAAACAAGCCCACAAACAAACAUGUAUGAGGUAAUGAAGUUGAAAGCGAGAGAAAGGGAACACACCUCAUAUUAAAUGUGAGAUAUUAUCUCGCAUCUAGAUAUGAUAUAGUCACACCCUUUGAAUUUUCGUAGCCUUUGCAUUGGUCCAGGACUGUCAUGCAUGGGUGGUGACGUGUCACGGCCGGACAUCAGGAGGAGGAUUGGAACUUAACCAAACGUAAACGACACAUCUAUUUUCUCAGGCAAUCGAGAUUUUUGUCCCAAACAACCGAUUUCCUAGAAGAAGUGGCGCAGAGAUCCGAGGUCGAGACAGGGGCCACGUUAUUCGCGGUGGAGUCGAUGACGGAUGGGGCUUUCGGUCCUAGAGAGGAGAAGAGUGCCAGACCUAUUCAAAUACUCUUACUUUAGUCUUAUUUCAUAAAAACAAUUUCAGUUAUUACGGCUAGAUUGGCGGAAGAAUACUUAGUUCCUAUUUUUUUUUCUUUUGCAAAAGCCAUCAGGUUUCUGGCAAUCUUUUUUGCAGAAAGCACCGAUCGCUCGAUUUGUUGCGUUUGAUCACUUUCUGAAAAGCGGAGUCCGAUUGUAAGGAGCUGAUUUGGCAAAGAAAUUGCAUACACACCCUUGUAUCAAAAAAAAAUUGAAAAGCGAUCAACCCCGGGUGGGCGCAGGGGGUCGUGGUGGUCGCCUCCCUCCUCGCUAGGGCCUCCAUCAUCCACAACAUCUACNNNNNNNNNNNNNNNNNNNNNNNNNNNNNNNNNNNNNNNNNNNNNNNNNNNNNNNNNNNNNNNNNNNNNNNNNNNNNNNNNNNNNNNNNNNNNNNNNNNNNNNNNNNNNNNNNNNNNNNNNNNNNNNNNNNNNNNNNNNNNNNNNNNNNNNNNNNNNNNNNNNNNNNNNNNNNNNNNNNNNNNNNNGAUCCGUUCGACAUAAUGCUCACCUCUCUCCUAUUCUUCUUCUCUUGUAUUUGACCCUGCAUACCCUCCCGUCGGUGGAGGUCGCCGACGACAAGGGAGCCGGGUCGGAGCUGGCGGCGAUCGCAAGGAGAGCUGAGCUAAAUCUGACGGCUGGCGGGCACCAGUGCUCUGCUCGAUGCCGAAGAGGAUGGAUGAUCCAUUACCAUUAUUCCUUUCUUUCUUUUUAUUUCUCGAGACAACAUGCAGGCGUGGUGCCAUUCUACGUUUUAGCCCGGUUCAAACAUAUGUGAAGAUCUUCGUUUUGCUGCGUCUUCAAACCUGGACAAAGACAACAGCUGGACCUGUAUCUUCAGUACUACUCUGCCUAAACUGUACAACUUUGUGCUUGUUAAUUUGAUGGCUUCGAUGGUGCUUGUUAAUUUGAUUAUAUUGCUGGGUCGAUCGAUUAGUCCAAGAUGUCUGGCGACAGGUUAAUUUGAUCCAAGCAAAGCCCGGCUGGCUCUUGGUUUACUGUUUCGAAGAAGUAAUUACAGUAAGCUGGUUACUAGUAAUAAUUACACCAUCCAUUUCAUAUUAAGUGUCGCUGAUUUAGUACCGACAAUACUUAAUAUGGAACGGAUGUUGCUGUACAUACAAUGGCAUGUCCGUGGACGAUGCUAUUAAUGAAGCCGGUGGUGUUAGAAAUCAAACUUCAGUACAUCCUCAGAUUUUGCAUCCUUCUUGAAUUGGCCAUGCCUCUGUGGUGCGCAAAGUAGUUUCGAUAUGGAAUGGUGGAAGUAGUUAAUUUGCAUUGCCUUCGACUUGGUCCCACGAUUCACAUGCAUGGGGACGUUCCUAGGCCAGACACGGGGGGAGUAUAUAAUAUAGGUGUAUAAAACAUAGGAACAUUUGUUCUAUGAGACUAUAUGGAGACAAAUAAUAAUAAAAAAAAAGGCGUUGCUACGCGUCGGCUAACGGAUAUUUUUAAAAGAUCCACCGCCUCGCGAGCCGUCUGAUGUGCAGACAUCGGGCAGCAGAGCGCUGUCUUUCACCAUUGCAACAGAGUUGCGGGUGCGGAAGUUUUGCAACAGAGAUCUUGUUGCAGAAAAUCUUUGCAACAAAGGUAUUGUUCCAGAUUUUUUUUUUGCAAUGAAGGCCCUUCUAGAAUAUCUUUGAAGUUCUUAUAACCUUUCAAAAUCUUCCAGGACCUUCUACAACCUUUCGGGAUCUUCAUGAGUACUCUCGGGACACAUGCAAUCGUAAAGCGGCGAUUCUAGCAUGAAUUUUAAAAGUGAUGACAUAUGGCAAUUCCCGUGGGCAUUCCCUCUCCUAUGCACCCUUCACAGAGAACAACGCAAACAUUCCCUCUGAUGCACCCACCCAAGGAAACAACCUCGUGUAGCAUGACAUCCACCCACGAUGUGAAGCAUGCACAUUACUAAAAUCAUGCAUGACUACUUCUCUGCAUAGCAUGGCGAAUCAUCCCGCUGUAGCAUGGUAAUUCCUACACAUGCAUGGUAAAUUGACAAUUUUCUCUGUUGUACCAUACCAUUUUUCAGUUGUAACAUGGUAAUUCCUUUCUGCUAACAUGGUAAUUCUCUUUUGCGCAUGUCAAUUUCUAAACAUGUGAGCAACUUCCUCUUCUCUUUAGCAUGAUAAUUAUCUCUACUGCAACAUGGCAAUUUUCUGAAACGCAUGGCAAUUUUCUCUGUUGUAGUAUGGCAAUUUUUGUUCUAUAGCUUGUCAUUUUUUGCUUGUUUAGCAUGACAAAUAUUUCUAUUAUAGGAUAACAAAACUCUUUGUUCUAACAUGACAAUUCUUGAAUGUUUCUCGGAGUGAUUCUUUGAGCAAAGGACAAGGAAAAUCGGUGUUUGGUCAUAUAAGCUUUGUUGAGAGGAACAUCCGUGUGGUGAAACCAGCUCACUAAAGUUUAAAACAUAUACUUGGCACUGGUGCCUUUAUCUUGCUAAAUUUAUUUCAGUGUUUCCAGUAAUGAUCGUUCAAUGGGAGGAGGUGUUUCCAUUGACUAGGAGACGUCAGUGAUGACUUCAGCAAUAUCAAGCAGUUGUGUUGGCUCGAUAUCUCGGAGGUUCUCAUAACAUAAGGUGUGCGUGCGUGUACUCAUAGGGAUGAAUGUAUAUGCGUGUAUGUGAGCAUAUGUGGUUAUAACAUGUUACAAAAUGUUCAUUCUCACAGAAUAAACAUUAGCUUGCCAUUAGGGUCCUUUUUAUUUUGCGUGGAUUUACACCUAGUUGUCAGAGAUAAUUUUGCUAUAAUAAAAAAUAAAAAAAGAAUCUUUUAGUUGGCGGACGUUCGCUGAAGAGAGUGACAUUUCGAACAAUUUCCGUUGCAAUUUUAGCUGUAGGGUGACAUAUUUUGAGACUAGCUAGCAUGACAAUUUCAUCCUAGAAGACACUUUCAGAUUUUUUUUUUAAAUGUCAUCAUUUAAUCUUGAUUAAACGGCUGCGAGGACGUUCGUUGGGAGUUACUUUGCAGCGAACAUUCACCAGUUAACGGAAAAGAAAAGACUGGUCCGGCGAACGCAGAGCCCGGAGCGGAUACGAACCAGGUGAGCCAUCGAAGCUGCUUCCUCUUAUAUAUAACGUAAUACAUAAAGGUAGCGCAGCCCGCAAACCCCAAUCCCUCGUCCACACAAACCCUCGUCCCCAAGUUCGCGAGCGAACAUCGGCGCCGCUGCCACCGGCCGCUGUGCGCGACCGCCCACCAUGGCUCGUAACGAGGAGAAAGCGCAGUCCUUGCUGAACCGCUUCACCACGAUGAAGCAGGAGGAGAAGAGCAAGCCCCGCGAGCGCCGGCCGUACCUCGCCUCCCAGUGCCGGGACCUCGCCGACGCCGACCGCUGGCGUGGUGAGGUCCUGCGCGAGAUCGGCGUCAGGUUGGCCGAGAUCCAGAACGAGGGACUCGGGGAGCACCGCCUCCGAGAUCUCAACGACCAGAUCAACAAGCUUCUCCGCGAGCGCAGCCACUGGGAGCGCCGCAUCCUCGAGCUCGGAGGCCACGACUACUCUCGGAGCUCCAACGCCGCCCUGAUGACCGACCUCGACGGCAACAUCGUCGCCAUCCCCAACCCCUCGGGCCGUGGACCGGGCUACCGCUACUUUGGCGCUGCCAAGAAGCUCCCCGGCGUCCGUGAGCUAUUUGACAAGGCACUUGACGUCCGCAAGCGCGGCACCCGCUACGGGAUUCACAAGCGCAUCAAUGCCGGGUACUGCAGAUACUAUUACUAUGACGACGAGGACGGUGCGCUUGAACCCCAUGAGGCUGCUGCUGAGAAGCGCAUGCGGCACGAGGUUGUCACGGAGUGGCACCGUGUGGCGCGGGAGGCCAUGAAGAAUGUGGCGAGUGGCGAGGUGGCGGCUGCAGCAGGUGGGAGUGGUGGGGAGGCUGCUACUGCUAGAGAGGUGCUGUUCGAGGAGGUGGAGGAGGAGGUUGAGGAGGAGAUUGAGCGAACGGUGCUAGAGAAGAAGGAGGAGCUGCUGAGCAAGUACACAAGUGAUGCCCUGCAAGGCGAGCUGAUGGGGGCCAAGGAGAUAUGCUCAACGUGCAACGCUAGGACUAGCUAGGAGAUAGACCUACGUGUAUAUAUAUAUGUUCUUGUUUAUCUUGGCUGUAAUGCUCUACUGCUCUACUGAUCUUUGUUGCCCUGUAAUUUGUGUGUGCCCAUUUACUCUUUAGUGCCUUCAUGCUGCGAAUGGUUUUUUAAUUUUUAGGCAAAGGCGUCUUGCACUAUGUGAACUAGGUGAUACCCGCGCGUUGCUACGGAACAUUUUAUAAGAACCUAUUGAUGGGUACACAUGUGCAACCUAACAAAAACAACACAUGCAUAGUUUCUUAUAAUUUAUAUAAAUCCAAAUAAUAUUAAAAUAAAUACGGACACUUAAAUGGAAUUUCGGCAAACAAAAGACAGCUAAAUUGACUUGCUAGAGUUAAGAAAGCAAUGGACUUACUAAUAGGUUGUUUGGCUCCGUUGGAAAAAAAUAAUUAUUGAUAUUACCCUUUUCGAUCUAUUUUUCCUGAUAAAGUUGUCUGCACCUUGUAUUCAGCUAAAUACAAAAUUAAUUCUUACCAUCACUAAGCUUGAAAGAGCUUUGCUGUACUACUAUAAAGGAAGUUAAUGGUGGGGUGUUGCCAAAGUAGAGAUUAAUAGUGCUUUGAUUAAAAUGAGCAAUCAAGUAAAACUUGUGAACUCAAAUUGCAAGUGUAUAGUUUAUGUGCAAUGUGAAAAUAGUACCAGAUGAAACUGCGAUAGUGUGUCCAAUGUUCAAAUAUGCAGUACCAACCAAAUGAGAUACUGAUAUAUCACCAAUCAAAAAAUUUCAAAUAAAUGUAUGACCAAAACCCAGUGAAGUAACAUUAUUACACAUGGACUUUGUCCAAAUAUGUCGACUGUUGCCAAAAAAGCAAAACCUUUGCCUUUCAGUGAUGCGACUUAUCUAUUCUUUUAGAAACUGUACCUGGACAGAGGUACUUCAAAAGAGGUUACAUGAAAGUGCUCUAAUAUCACAUAGGUCUCUCACCAAGUGCCAGGCAACUGGCAGCAGAUUAAAACCACUGACGCUCCUAUGAGUAGGAGAAAUAGAGUGAACGGAACCAAUCAACUCAUCCAUGCUUAUACCAUAAAAAAUGGUAAGUUCAGUUGGUUGAAUGUAAAAGCUAAAGAAAUGAGGAAUUCGGGAGGGCAGGGUAAGACUGUUGUAGACUGUUGCAUGCAUGGACCACCCCGUUUGAGCCACCCGCUGAAAAUUUUGUCUCGUCCGAUACUUGUCUAUUAAUGGGAGCGGCAACAAUACCAGCAAGGACCACCAAAUUGUCCUACAUCCUUGCCAUCAGAAGAAAAUUGUCCGACACUUGUGACAGGUGAGAUCUGAACAAAUCUGAAUAUAAGCUUGCCAUCCAUCACAUGUAGGUAUCGUAUCAUAUUUUUCAACUGUAACAAAUAGAAGCCAUCAGGUUCAUAUUCCCAUGCUCUCUAAAUUAGUAAGUAGGCUAACAAAAUGCGCAUAUGAUAACUCAAUGUCGAAAAUAAAAUUCAGAUAUGGGAGCUUGUGCUCUCUAAAGAGGUAUGUAGGCUAACAGAAUGAGCAUGAGAGAAACACACUAUUUGCAGAAUCUUUUUCUGGUUUAGUUUUUGUGUAAAAAAAAGUGUCAUGGGUGAAGUAUGUCAGAACGGCAUAAGACGCAUGGAUUAAGAAUAUGAUCGAUGUGUUUGUCCGUCAGAUGCAAAAUUAAUAGAUUGCACAAUGCACAUACAUAGUUCCACUACACGUAUACCUGACUGGUGGCUGCUGAAGAGAUAUACUCCCUCCGUUCCGAAUUACUUGUCGCAGAAAUGAAUGUAUCUAGAACUAAAAAAUGUCUAGAUACAUUCAUUUCUACGAUAAAUAAUUCCGAACGGAGGGAGUAGAUGUGAGAUACCCCUGCUGCCCUGCAGCUGCAGGUACUGCUUUCUUCUGGUGUCAACGAUCAAGUCCUCCAUACUGCUUCACCGUUUUGCAAGUAAACUGAUGAAAAAAAUGGUUCACGGUCACAGUUACACGGUCUGCACUCUGCACAGAGGAUCAUACAGAAAGAGCCUGGAUUGAAGGCGUACCUCCUGAUCGCCAGCGCUGCGCCUCUGAGUCUGAGGGCAUGGUCAGUGGCGCCGAACAACAUCCUUCCACCACAGCGUUCCUGAGAGAUGAACUUCUAGCUUUGGCGGAGACCCCUACCUCUCCGCCCAAGGGCUAGAGUUCGGCAACCGGCGCUGCCGGCCUGCCGACGAGGCACGCCGCGUUGGACGACAGGAAGAGCACAUCAGCAAGAGCGCAUCAGCAACAACAUCAGGUCAGCUGGGCACUGAUUCCUACCAGGGGGAGGCGAGUACUCAUGGACGGGAAGCCGCCGAUUUGGCGUGGCUUGUGAGCGUGGGAGGCGGCAUCUCGCACUGGUGUCAGAUUUGGAGAUGCGAACCAAUAAGAUGGAGUAGCGAAGGCCAGAUUGGUUGGGAAUUAAAGUGAAGAGCACUGCUAUACAGCCGAUAUUUUUAGACGACAUGCAGACGACGUUUCCCAUCCAGCCAUCAGUAUUUUGGUCCCUAAAGCAUCUGACGGUGCAAAUUAUUUAUCGGCUGCACAUCGGGCACAUAGUGUCGUGUGCAUAUUCAUUCCGUAAAGUGAAAGUGGAAGGGGAAUAGGCGGCUGCAUUUGGUGCUGCGUUCUUGGAGGUGAGGAGCCAAGGGAGGUGGAGCAACGUGGAAGUGGAACCAACGCAAGGGGGAUAGACUGCGGGAGGUUCAACGCAAGAACUGCAGAUCUGGCCACCCGUGGUUAAUCGAAUGGAUGCAAGUAUUUGUGGUGACGUGGUUAACUGUGAGGGCAGCAAAAUCAGGUAGUGGGGUGCUCCUAUUUAGAUAUAAUAAUAGAUUAUCGUUUGCGCUGUACCAUUGAUUGUGUGCUUUGUUUGAAUUUCGAAAGUUGUGCUCACAGUCAUGGUACCAACAGCUAGCUAGCGAAAUACUCUGCUGGAGCCUGAGUUAAAUGAGAUUCACUGCCUCUGGUUACUUUUUUUUUUCACAAAUCUUGUUUGAACCCGAUGAUGCUCCAAAUAAGCAAUUUCAUUAUAUGCUGAAAUUAUGAGUUUAGGCAAUAAAUUGAUACAUCAAAAUCAUAUACGUUGACCGAUCAGCGCUUAAUGGUCCAAUAUCUUAUUUCAUUAGUUGAUGUAGUUCAUUUAGUUAACGUCGCUGCAGCUAUUAUGUUUCCUGCUUAUGAGUUGUCAUACGUAUUGAGUAAGCAUUUUGUGUUUCUUAAUUUGAAAACCUUUUAAAAUAUACUCCAUUCGUUUCUAAAUAUAAGUCUUUUUCUAGAUUCCAAUACACACUACAUGCCGAGUAAAAUGAGUGAAUCUACACUCUAAAAUGCGUCCAUAUACAUUAUCGAAAAAUGCUUUCGCCCCGCUUUAUAAAUAAAGCAAGAUCAACAACAUCCUGGUACAGACGCACUCCACCACAACACACGCACACACCCAAGGCAAGAUACAUGGACACUGAGCUCAGCAACACGACCCCAAGCACUACUCGAGCAACCGGGGCUCCACUAGUGAACACUGCCACCACGAAGAGAUGCAACCACAUACGACGAACCGUGGGCUCCAAGACGGUGCCUUCAGGAGGUUACGACACCGGAGCGCCGCCACCGCCCGAUCCGAGGAUCAAGGUUUCCCCAGGAACCACACGACAGACAAUGAGAGAGCCGCGACAACGCCUUUAAGAAGGCAACGAGCUACGCCGCUGCCGGUCUGUCCGAAGAUAGAGCAGGUUUUCACCCCGGCCAAUACUCAUUGCCAUCAAACGCCGCACCCCCGACAACCACGUCGCCCACACGGCCAUGUCCACCGGGCAGUACCAAGCGACUGGCUCUGCGUGAGCACCGCACAACCACCACCAGGGCCGCCGCCCCAGAAUCCAAGACCCAGGAACCACCUCACCCGACACCUGCCGCUACCCCAGCGGAAGAGACGAUCGGAUCCCGGGGCAAACAAGUCCAUCGAUUCAUCCUACAGCUCCGGGCGCGGGACGAGCUCGGUCCUGCUGCCGGGAGCGAGACGAGUAGGUCCUGCUGUCGGGCGCGAGACGAGCUCGGUCCUGCUGCCCGUGCACGAGACUAGCGAUGGGUCGCAGAAGGGAGAGGGCCAUCCCAUAGACGAAGAUUGCGCCCGGGCAUCGAGAAGAGGGGUCGAAGCCCUUCACAGGCCGCACACCUACGGGCCGACGCCAAAGAAGUCCAGCAGCCGCCGUGAGACGAUCUUGACCACCGCCAUGAGCCACCACCACGCCGUGGUAGCCCACAUCCAUGCCGAGCACAACCCGCGGCCCCUGCCAUCACUGGAUCGGCCGGGGGCUGGCAGGCCCACCACCACUAGGGAGCGCCGUAGCAGGGGCGGCCACCGGAGCAAGCCACCACCUGCGGCGGGCCGAAGCCCCGCCACCACAAGGGCCCAGGUCACCUGAGCCGCAGCCGCGAUAGAUCAGGCCCGCGCCCAAACACCACCACCGCCGGGAGCAGGGCACGCCCCCAGCCCGCACCACCACCCACGCCGCCGCCGGCAGGCCGCGCCCCCGUCGCCAGCCGCCAUCGCCGUGUCGCAGCCCAACAAGGAUGGCCCGUGCCAUCCAGUGCCGCGCGGAGGAGGAAGACGCCCCGCCGUCGUCCGAGCUGGGGUNNNNNNNNNNNNNNNNNNNNNNNNNNNNNNNNNNNNNNNNNNNNNNNNNNNNNNNNNNNNNNNNNNNNNNNNNNNNNNNNNNNNNNNNNNNNNNNNNNNNNNNNNNNNNNNNNNNNNNNNNNNNNNNNNNNNNNNNNNNNNNNNNNNNNNNNNNNNNNNNNNNNNNNNNNNNNNNNNNNNNNNNNNNNNNNNNNNNNNNNNNNNNNNNNNNNNNNNNNNNNNNNNNNNNNNNNNNNNNNNNNNNNNNNNNNNNNNNNNNNNNNNNNNNNNNNNNNNNNNNNNNNNNNNGGAGGGGAGGGGUGUCCAUAUACAUUCGUACGUAGUCCGUAUUGAAAUCUCUAAAAGGUGUUAUAUUUAGAAAUGGAGGGAGUACAAGAGUAUUGUUUGAAGUUGAUGAUUUUUUUGUCAAAUGUCCUUAUGACCUACGAAGUUAGAUACGGAAGGAUAAUGCCUUGUUGGUGCUGACCACAAGAUGCUUUCUUCAGGGUUACAGUUCGACUAUAUAUCUGUAGUUCUGUACUAAUGAUGACUUUUAGUUAUUUAUUUGAUAUUGUUGAAAAAAACCUUGCAAGCAGGAAAUCGCUGGCUGGUGGACGAGUCUCGUAGGCCAUAAUCUAUAUCACAUAGCUGCUCCUGCAGGGUCGUGAGUUGCUCUUGAUGAAGCACCCAUGUUUUAGUGUCAGGAAGAGAGACCUCAUGCUCGGUGUUGUCCCCAGGGCCAGACAUGAACUCUGAUACCAAAUUGGAACCGCCUAUGGAUCGGAGGGCUACUCCGUGGCUUGGAGGUGCUUGGGGGUCAAUGGGCUGUGGACAGGGCGGCGGCGUCGCCGGCAUAGUAACAGAAGAUAGCGGGGAUUAGAGAUAGAAAACACAGAUAGAGAAACUAGACUUUAUUGAUAAUUUCUUGCCUCUAAGCUUACAUGGGUGUGUCCUUUAUAUAGGACACGGACUAGUACUACUUUGACAUACAUUGGACUCCAAUUGGAAUCCGACUCAAACACUACCUUAUCCGAUCUGGAGAUUACCAAAACAGAUGCACCCUUCAGGACAUCAAACUGCCCUUUUCUAUCCACAGCUUAACCUGCCCCUGCUGCCCUGCGCCUUCCAUAAUGAAUUCCCCACGUAACAAAAUCAUGCUAGUCGGUUGAGUUAAUUGACAAGCAGGUACUUAGUUUCUUUAUCGAAACUAAUAUGUCUGCUUCGUUCAUUUCCUCAUCAAACAUUUGGUAAAGCAAGUCGCAUUUGGGGACACAUGCAAAAAAUAUGCGAUCUGGUUUAGAAUUACAGAAAUGAUAAAUCCCAAACGUUCAGAUUUUAAGUAUGACAACCUGAACAUUUUGCAUGGCAACUUCAGCUGAGGCGAGGUGGCAAGUUUAGUCGGCAAACAAAAUUGCCAUGUUUGCCAACUAAACUUGCCACCUCAUCUUAACUAAGGUUGUCAUAAAAAAUGCCGGGUUGCGAUUCUUAAAAUCCGAACGUUUGGAAAUUAUAGGGGUCCUAGAAUUAGUUGUGCUUAUGGUGUUUGAUUAAUGAUUUCAUUCUAGAAUAUUCCUUGUCAACUGAACACCCCAUUGGAUGUGGCUUGUGUUAUGUAUAGGCUGGAACGUUGUUUAUUACCCUAGAAUGAGUGAUGCCAAAUGGGUAAACCUGAGAUAGUGGUGGUGAACUGUCACUGUGCAUGUAUGUGUUAUAUUCACUAACACUUGUGAUGUACAACAACUACAUCCAAUGGCUACGCACCCUGAUUGAUAUAUAUCUAUAAAAAUACUGAUAAAACAGAAGUCGGAUGGUAUCAUCUCCAGACCAUAAUGAAAGCUUUUCUCAACACUCAAAGAUGUAAGGGCAUCUCCAAUGCUAACCCCUAAAUUUGCUCCGGCAUCUGUUCACGCACAGAGAUAAAUAGUCCGUGGACAAGGACACGGAAGACAACCAUCCAACCGUAGCCAUAAAAUGUCCGCAGCGGUCUUUUGUUAAUUGACCCUAAACAACGGUCAAUUAAAUAAAAUGAAACAACACAUUCCGCAAAACAAGCAACAUAUAUUACAUGCACCUUCCGCCAAUGCAUGCAUUGCAUUGCAUGCACCUUUCCGCCAAACACUUUGGUAAAAGCAAUGCAUUUUGAAAGAGAAAAAGAUAUUAACGUCGGUGCCAUGUUCCAUCAUUUGGCACAUGCGAAGUUAAUCACGUUUAGCUCGAUAGUUAUGUGCCUUCCGCCAAAGCAAGCCAGCUAGCUUGAAUCCUUCCGCCAAAGAUCAUGCUAAUUAGGUAAUAACAAAUUCUCCUUCCGCCAAAUAGCAUGGGCCUUCCGCCCAUCAUGCACGGACGAGGGCACGUGGUGACUUUCCACUGGCCAGACGGAUAUCUGGACUACUACAUCCUCAUUUUGUCCUCGGUUUAUGAGCUCGACGGACCGAUGCAGGCCCAGGUUGAAAGGCAAAACACAUCCGGACAACACAGUUCAGGCGUAUAUGGGCAGUUUGAGGGUCGGCGUUAGAGGUGCCCUGACAUCCAACAUGCUGAGCAUCCCUAAAGGAGUGGCAUCCGACAUGCUAAGCAUCCCUAAUCCAUGACACCGGUUGUAGCCCCUGAAUUGGUCAUCAAGCUGAGGAGAUUCCUCAGCCUCUCGAGGCUACUCUCAGUCUUCCGUCUUCGGCCUUACAAGCUAGUUCACCUUACACAAUCUCCUGAAGGGAUUUCACCUUUAGCCAAGGAGUCGUAUACCUCGAUCAUCCGAGGCGCCCCACAGUACUUUCGUGUCUUAUUUAAUAAAAGAUUCCUUCAACGCCCAGGAAAGGUCUGUUGGAUUCUAGCCCCCCACCCAGUCUUCUCUAUCCAUGGAAGCAAUCUAGCUUCUUCCUCGGAUGGCAGGAAGUCAUCAACCAUGGGACUACCACCCGACACCUCCCACCCCAUGUUGGGAGCGACCGCGCCAGGUUGUGCUACCUCACCUAUCUGCGAUGAAAGAUUUAGGACAGUGCGCCCGACGAGCUGGAACCGCGGUCGCUGUUUGCUAUCAUGGCUCCAUCAGCGAGCUACAAUUAGCAAUCUUUGGUGGUACGAAGAGCACCGCCGGAUCUUGGAACCGGUUCUCUACUUUUGUAUCAAAUGGUGGGGGUGGGGCCAUGUCGGCAAUAUGUGGUGCACGAUUGCUACAACCAGCAAUGACAGAAGUUGGGGCUGGCUAUUUUUUUUGUUGCUAAAACUAUGAUGGAAACAUUAGGGGGAAACGGGGGUUGGCGCGUGUUGUUUGCUGCAUCUAGCAACCACAAAAGCUAUAAACGGUGAGUCCUUUUGCUGCCAUGGUGACGGGGCAAAAACUGCAAGAUUUUUUUCUGGAAUCGUCUGCUACGACCGUUGGAGAGUUUUUGCUGCUACGACAACCCAAGGGAGAGUACAUUUUCGCAAGCUCGUUGUCGGAGGUGCUACGACCAGCGACCAUCGCCACCGAAACUACGGCUGUCGCCACUGCGAGUUGCAACCACGAGCGCAUGCUGCUGGAUGCACGGAGCCGCUAAGAAACACAUGCGACGAUGGCGGCGAGGGCGGUGACCAAUGUUUUAAAUAGCGGGCUAUUGAAAAUAGCGGCGGGCCUCCAAAUCAGCUAUAGCGGACUAUUUAUGAAGGCGGUCAUUUAGCAGCACCAUGCUGAAAAAGCUAUAGCCGGCUAUUUAAUACUAUGGCGGUGACCGGUGUCGACAAGCGAGACGUGCCGGGCAAUGCUUUGAAAUCUGGCGUGCCGGUUGUCCAUGGCGACGCGGCAUGCGUUGUUUCUCAGUGAAGAAGGUGCGAAGGGGAGGAAGGAAGGAGAUUGUGCUAUUCAAAAUCAUGUUAUCAUACGCCGCGGGUGCGACCAGCAGCUAGCGCCGCCCUUACCGUUUGAAUAAUAAAUUGAGUUUUUUUAACAAUGUACAGAUGUAGACGCUUAUAAUAUGCACAUACACUCACCCCUAUGAACACACGCAUGCAGACCCUGUCUCUAUGAGCUUCUCUAAGGGACUGAGCCGGCACAUCAUAUUGAGAUUGACAAAAAAAAUUAUAGUCAACGGGAACGUCUCCUCCUACUUAACACACACCGCUGAAAGUCCCAGAAUAAAUCCAAGAAAAUGCGAGUACGCACACCCUACCCCUAUGAGCACCUCCGAGAAACUGAGUCGACACAUCAUCUUGAGAUUGACAAAGACACAUUCAUCGUCGAAGGAAACAUCUCCUCCUACUAAACACACAUUGCCAAAAGUUGUGAAAUAACUGUAGGAAAAUACGAGCGCCAGUGCCAUGUCUAGGACUUGAACCCUGAUGGGCUAGGGAUACCACUCUCCUCCUAACCAUCCGAUCGCAAGUUGGUUCGCAAAUUGAGUUGGUAAGUUUAUAGUCAGUUACCCCAUGCAGAUUUUAUUAAGAUGGUAGACACUCCCUUGGCGGUUUGGAUAGCACGCAGAAAAGCAAUACACGAGACAAUUUAUCAAUGUCCAAUUCAAACACAUCUAUUGAGGAUUUAUUUCAUAGUUGGAUAGCCUAAAGAGGAUUACGAGAACAAUGGCACUGCAGAAGCGUGGACGCGAUAAUGAUUUCUAACACAUGGAAGCCCUCCCCCCCUUUCCCAAGUGGCCAUGCAAAGAUCUAUGUCGACGGAGGUAUGUCUCAUGAUGGCGAUGUGGGUGCAGCAGCCGUGGUGUGCAGAGACGAAUAUGGCAAAUAUCUCGGAUCCUCGGUGGUUGUCCUCCCAGGAGUGAAAGAUCUCCUAGUCCUCAAAGCUAUAGCGUGCCGCUGGGCAUUGGCUUUAGCUGAUGAUUUGUCUUUGAACCGUUUGAUGAGCGGCGUUUGAUGACCGGGUGCGAUUGCAAGCCAGUAGUGGAGGACAUCAACAAGGAACCGUGAGGUCCUCAUAUUAUAGUUGUGAAGGAAAUAGAAAAAUAAAGGCUAAUUUUGAGAGAUGUGAUUUUAGGUUCGAAGGUCGUCGUGAUUCAAAGUGGGAGGCACACGAUCUUGUAAAACAUUCAGUAGCGCUCGCACGGGUUGCCAUUUGUUGUUGAUAUGCCCUCACAACCCUCUUUCUAUCCCUUUUAAUGGUGUUUCAUAUUAAUAAAAUUUGGUAUUCACAAAUUUUUUUUACAGUAUUAAUAAAGUUUGAGAUCCCUAAAAGAACUUAAUAGUUAGUUGCUACUCCUUGGACUUGGCCCCACGACAGACAUGCAUGAUACAUGAGUGGACGUGCCGGAAGAAAAUCUGGUACGACCGGGUCAUACGCACGCAAACAUGAGACCAUCCCCAUCGCUUGAUAUCUGGAAGUACAAAUCUCAAAGCACGCAGCAUCACCUUAUCCAAACUGGAGACCAGAUCGAGCACAGAUCGACGCCCAACCUCUCCAACGCCCCCAACUCCUGCCGCCGGUGUGCUUUGCUCCGGUUGCUUACCACAUCGCCGCUGGUGAUCGACGCUCAGGAAAAAAAGCUCCUGCCGCCGGUGAGAUCCGCUCUGGCUGCUUGCCACAUUGCCGCCGGUGUUCUCCUUGACGCUCGGCGUACUCCAUUCCCCGCGUUUGUUGGCGACCCAGGUCGCGGCAACGUAGAAGCUGCCCGCCGGCGUGCUCCGCGAUGCCAGCCGCCGUCCUCCUCAGCCACCCUCGCGGCGUGGCUGACGUACUAUGCAGAACAAGUUCAUGUAGAUUUUUUGUGUGUGUGAUUUGAGUUGUAAAAUUUGAACAAAGGCUGCUCCUGCUUAUUUUUCUUCUGAAUUUUAUCCCAUACAAGAUGUGGCAUAUGAUGUAAACAAGACCUGCAAUGUAUAUGUUGGUGUCCAUUCUUGGCAUAAGUGUGGUUUGACGUUUCCAUAUUCUGCUGUCAACUCUUGGAUAAAUGUAAGAUGCAUUUGCAUUUGCCCUGAUAAUCUGAUACAGUCUCAACUGUAUGGCAUGAACAAACAUUCAUGGUUUGCUACAGAGGAAAAUGAUAGCUUCAGUUUUAUAUUGCAGCAAGUAAAUAUCACCAUUUGCUCCUUGGCCCUGUGCCGCGAUGCCAUCGUCGGGCGCCGUAGCCAUCUUGCCGCCACGUCGCUGACGGGAUGAAAACAGAUCUCGUGUCUGUUCGUUUCUUUUGGAAGAUGAAUCAUCAGAAGAUGAGAGGAUGGUGGAAACGGACCAGCUAAUUCUAACCCCGCUUGGGCUUUUUUUCUGGAACUCAAGUUGGGCCGGAUGUUUGGGAUUGCCAGAUGUCAAGCGCUCGGGCUGGUCUCACGUUUGCGUUCGUACGACCAUAAAAGAGACACUGAGGGAGGAAGGAAACGUAACCAUGUUGUAGGCUCAUAAAAGAGACACGGUAGACGAAGGAGUACGUACGUAGGCCGCUCCAUCCAAACUCCAAGCCCUAACACGUACUCCUACAUUAGUAGUUAAUCAACGGACAUAUCGAUUAAUCUAUAGGCAUCUACGGCCAAUGUCGUCUCUGCUGUGGCGUUCUGCCGCCGCCGCCGCCCGACGGCAGCUCGGCCGGCCGCCCUCCCCGAGGACGACGAUUCGCUCCAUGGCCUCCUCAUCAUCAUCAUCCUCAUCGGAGAACAUGAAGGUUCGCUCGCUUCUGCCAUCUACCUCUCCAACCGACAAUUCGAUUCGAUUUGGCCUACUGCUUCCAUCCACCUGCAUGGCUAACAAACGAUGAUGCAUGAUCCACAUUUGACAGCAGGGAGCAGGCUGGCUCAUCAUUGCCAACAUCGUUAUAUUUAAUGCGUGGAUCUAUAGCCUGAACAACAAGACCAAAGCGCACACGGAGGAGAUGAGGAGCGUCCGGCAGGAGAUUCAGAGGCUGCAGGCGUCCAACGCCGAGCUGCAGCACCAUCUGAAGCGCAUCUCAUGACCAUGCGGCGCGCCACAAACCGAGCAAAUUGAGUGAUAUUUGCGACGCAUAGGUGCAUUACACGGCGUAAUUGCUAGUUAUUAAUAUUAUGUGCUUGUCUUUCUCUAAUAAAUUGAUCAGAAGUGUACAUCAUGUUUUUCCUAAUUGUAUGUUUUGCGUGUUCGUCGGAUGUUAUUUACAACAAGGGUCUGUCUAGGACACAUUAUUGCACAUCUAAGUGAUUCAAUGAUAUAAGACUUGGAUGUGCAAUAUUUAGGACACAUCAAGAUAGGCAAAACUGUUGCAACAAACAGUAAAGAUGGUUUUCUCUCCUCCUGAGGCGUCGGUGUCUCUUUGGCUUACUUGUGGAGACGGGGCUUCUUCUCUCCUGUCCAAAUCGGGGUGUUUCUUUCGUGCGCUCUGAGUUGACAACGUGACGUGCAUGGGCUCCCAUGAGAGAAAGAUGGUGAUUUUGGGCGGAAUCGUAUAUCGAUAGGACGACAAGCACCAAAAGACACCAUGCUCCUAAAUUGAUCUAGUGCUGAGAUUAUUUGACUGCAGCUAAAAGAAGUUUUCAAAACUAAAAUUAAUAAAAUAUUAUUUGUGGUCCACACUAUAUCACCAGAAAGGCUCAAUGGUUCGCCAAUAUGUUGUAUUCAGAAGAAUGAGUUGCAUACUAUUGAUCUUGACUCUCUCAUCAAUAAUUUUGCAUAAAAAGUGUACGAAGGAGUUGAUCAUUGGAUGCUAUAGGUGCAUGACAUUUCUCUUUCAAUGUGCUUUGUAGCUUCUAGGAGACUGAAUUGUGACUGGGAGCUAGGUCGCCCCCAGGGUCCGAGCUAGUGCCGGUUCGCCCCCAGGCCGCUCUUUUUAGGCGCCCUGGAGGGGGCGAACGGCUGGAGAUGCUCUAAUGUGUAGAAACUGCUACUAGCAAUUAACCAACCGUGAAUUAGCGUGAAGGGGAGAAGAAACCUCUUGUUGGGUGUGUGUGACGAGUCUCGGCCGUACACUAUUAGCUAGGCUGAUUUAAGGAAACCAUAAAGUACCAUAGAGGCAUUGUUUGAGUUCUUCUCGGAGAGGGAAUCCGCAGGCUUUUACUCAACAUCGGUCAACGAUACACAGGUCCAUAUAUAUUCGAUCGAUGUCAGAAUGAUCCAUAGUACUCCCUCUGUCCCAUAAUAUAAGAACAUUUUUGACACUAGUGUAGUGUCAAAAACAUUCUUAUAUUAUGGGACGGAGGGAGUAAGUCGCAAGCUAGCUCCAUCGAUCCUCCAAGCCCGAACACGCUAGGUGUCGAUGUAGGGUAGGAACGAUGUCGCAGUUGUUGCGUGCUGUCUCUGCCGCCGGGCGAUGGCUGGUCCGGCCGCCCUCUUCCGUCGGCGGGACGAUGGUCCACGGCCUCCGCCACUCCAUGGCCUCCUCUUCCGCCAUUGCGAGGACGGUCCACAGCCUCCGCCGCUCCAUGGCCUCCUCCCCCGGCUUCACGAGGACGGUCCAUAGCCUCCGCCCCUCCAUGGCCUCCUCCUCCGGCUUCACGAGGACGGUCCAUAGCCUCCGCCCCUCCAUGGCCUCCUCCUCCUCCGCUGCCACAACGGUCCAUGGCGGCCCCUCCAUGGCCUCCUCCUGCCACUGCCAUGACACCAUGGAGGUUCGCUCGCCCUACCAGCUCUUCAAUCUAUUUACCACCUGCACCGCAUUGCAUUGCAUUCUUAUUGACGAUAAUGUUGAUUUAUAUGUGAAUGCAUGCAUGACAUGAGUACAUGACGGACGACGUGCUGUUCGAUGAUGCAGGGACGCUGGAUGAUCACUCUGGCCAAGUGGGGGCUCAGCUACACAGUGGGCAAUGCGGUGGUGGACAUGAAGGUUGACAAGGAGGCCACCAGCAUCCGGGAGGAGAUGUUGUCGCUUGAGGAGGAUACAAUCUGCAUGCAGCACGAGAUGUUGUUGCUUCAUGCGUCCAACGCCGAGCUGCGGGAGCUCAUGGAGCCCUAUAUUGCCAGGUGGCAUGCCAACAAGGAAGAAGAUUUAGAGAUCAUUUAUUGAGUAUAGUAUAUGUAAGAUAUAUUCAGAUUUUCAUAUUAGGCUAGCCAUAGUGGGAGUAACUUACUAGCUAGUAACACAACACAUACCAAGACACAUUGGCUUAUGUGGUAAAGAGUUAAUGAUGAGAGAGGUGUUUGUAAUAUGUCUACAACCUAAUUAAUGUAGGGCUUACAUGACACUAUACUUAUGUUAUUACCCACUAUAAAGAUAGUAACGUAGGCUAGUAACAUGCAUGUUACUAGUCUAAGUUACUUUCCACUAUGGCGAGCCUUAGUGCCACAUCAUGUUCACUUAAUGUGGCACGGGAAUAAGAAAGUCUUAACCAGCAUUGGAUGAAGGCAUGCAAAAUACUCUUUAGUUUUGGAAGAAGAGGUCGUAUUUUGUCCGUGGAUUGUUGUUCAAUCAGGACUCAAUUGUAUGAACCGAACAACACACCACCAACCAUACCUAGCAAAGCAACAAGCAUAUGCACGAAGCAGACCUUCUGAGUUUGUGUGGUUUGUUGAUGAUUCCAUCUUGAUCGUGUUCAGGAGUAGUUCAGGAGAUCGUCAAUGGCUGAACCUCCUCUUACGAGGCUCGUCAAGGUGGUGGGUACUGAACUCUGGGCGAAAGCCUUGGGCAACAUGGCUUGGUACUGGCGGUGAAGGCACCCAUGAGUGUCUUCCCCUUUCUUUGAGACAUUGUUGAAAGUUCAACCUGACGUAAGACCAUAUUGGCUGGAGCUAGGCCAACGUAGUUUCGGCUAAAGUUUUAUCCCGACCGGGGUCAGUGUUGGUGACUUUGACGCAUGUGGCCGCCAUUUUUUCCUCGGAUGCAAUAUCUAAGAGCUCCUCCACACUGCCCUCGGUCUUUCCAGCCCUCGGUCUUUGUUUUGCGUCAGAUGGACUCUUGUUUCGAUUAGGGGUUGUUCGUCUUCAGCAUCAGGAUUUUCACAUGAGUGUCCCUUAAUCAGUUAUGAUGUUGUGUGAUUUUGACCUAGUCUUUUUUUAACCGAACGGAGCGUGUUUGGUUCGGUGGAAUUGGAGAGAGGGAAUGGGAGUUUGAGGCUUAGAGAGUUUUACUCCUUUGUUUGUUUAGGUGGAAUGGGAAUUCAACAGGGAAGUGGAAAGGGAAUUCACGUGUAAAAGUCCCACAUAUCUAUUACCUGGGGGAGGGCUGGUAAUUGAGAUGGGGAAAGGGAAUUAGAGUUAAACUCCCAUUCCCCUUCCGUUAGUUUGCCAAACAGGCUGUAGAGAUACUCAUGCAUCAUUCAGCUUUGCCACGUGAGCGGAUGCCAGUAAGAAUGAAACAGCUGCCCCAUGGUCACGUACAAUGCAAAGCAAUAUCUUUCCCUAAUCUUUUACCUAAUCUUUACCUAAUUUUUUAUUUUUUAAUAAUAAAGCAAAUUGGGUUUCAGUCGUCUGUCAUUAUAAUUACCCUCCAAAUGGUAAAAAUUACCCACCAAUACCACCCGUAAGUGGAAAAACGAUUCAAUUUUUCGGACAAAAAUCGUCGCCCCACUGGUUAUUUAAAAGGGCCGCGACGAAUAGAAUUCAUGGAACAAUGGGCAGCAGAGUGGUUGGGCGAUUUCUGCGGCGAGACCGGGGUUCGAUCCCCAGUUUCCGCAUCUUUUAUCGUUCUUUUCCCACGCAUGUCCUAUCCAUGUGCGGGCUUUUUUGUCGUUCUUUUCUCAUUCUGUUUUCUUUCUUCUUUAAAUUAAUUUGGAAUUUUAAUAUUCUAAAGUUGCGACUUUUUUAAAAAAAAGUUUGAGAAAAUCAUAAAAAAUAUGUGAAUUCAACAAAUGUUUAGAAAAUCAUAAAAAUAUUAGAGAUUCAAAAAAUGUUGGUGGUUUUGCAAAAAUGUGCGCAAAAUUAUUUAAAAAAUCACAAUUUGAAAAAAUGGUUAGGAAAUAAAAUCAUGUUCAUGAUUUUGAAAAAAUGACCGUCUAUUGGAAACAUAUUCGGGAAUCUGAAAAAAAUGUACAUGACAUUUUAGAAAAUGUUCACAAAAAUAAAAGUAAAUAUUUGUUUUUUAAAAUUUGUUCCCAAUUUUUUUAAAAAGUUCAUCGACUCAAAAAUUGUUUGUUGAGUCAAAAAAUGUUAAUGAAUUCGAAACCAGUUCAUGCAUUUAAUUUUUUUGUAAACAAAACCAAUGUUCAUGAUUUUUUUUGAGAAAAUAAAAAAUUUCAAAAGAAAAUGUUUGUCGAUUCGGAAAACUGUUCACUGAUUCAAAAGUAUUUUAUAUCUAGGAUUUAAUUAGUUUUUCAAAAGUCUUUAUAUGUCUUGGCGUUGGGAUUAGUUCGUGGUCAAUGAGAUUUGUUCUAAAAGUUUUUAAACAUUCCCUUGCGCAACAUAGUGACAAGUGUGGCAUGCACUGGCAAACUCAUAGCCUUGGGAUUUACCACGUCGAAUGCAUAUUGACCACGUGGACAUCAAGACCAUCAUCGGCUAGGGUGAGAGAAAAAUGGCAACAUGAUAAGCCACUGUGUAAAAAUAGAGUAUGCUCAUAUAUCAGGAUAUUGAGUCAUACUUAUUUGCUUACCCAUAAUUUUUGUCUCCCGUUGCAACGCACGGGCAUAUUUGCUAAUAAUAAUGAAGCAAGUUGGGUUUCUUUCGUCCGUCAUGGCAUUUUUCAGAAAAGUCCCUCUAUUUCAGAGAAUUCAACCCGCAAUCCUGUUUUAAGUUAAAACGAAUCGUUAUUUUUGUAUUUUACACAAAAGUCCCUGUCAUUUCUUGAAAUCAACCCGAUGUUCGGAUUUAAGUCACAACCGAACCGUUAUUUUACAUUUUUUGAAACCCCCCCUGAUGUUUUAGGUAAUUCAUCCGCGGAUCAUAUUUAAGUCAAACAAAUGCUUUUUAAAAUCAUCCAUAUCUUUUAAACCGUAACUCCGAUUUGAACAUGUUAUAUAUGAAAUUUGAUUAGGAAAAUAUGUAGAAUAUGAAUAUGAGAUUAUUUUUACCUGUUAAAUAUUUUUAAAUAUUAUUUUGGAAUAUAUUUGAGUGAAAUCAAAUGAUCUAAAUUAUCGGUAUCCUUUAAACCGUAACUUCGAUUUUAACAUAUUAUAUAUGAAGUUUUAUUAGAAAAGUGUGUGGAAUCUAAAUAUGAUGUUAAUUUUACCUGUUAAAUAUUUUUAAAUUAUUGUUAUGGAAGCAAAUUUAUAAUUUAUAGCACAAGAACCGUUUUUUCAUACCGGCGGCGACCCAGAUUGUUUGCCUUCUCGAAGAAAUAAAGCUGCAUAUCCCCAAACUCAACUGUUGUGUCACCAUGAGGACAUCUAGCUGCUUGUUGUUCUUUAGUUACUGUUGCUCUUAAAAUUAAUGUGUUAGAUAUUCUUAGGAUAGAAAUUUUAUGGAAUUUAAUGAUCAUUCAUUUAAAAAAAUAUACGUGAUAUUUCCUGUAAAAGGCUGCCUUCCCAUUUAUGGCCUGCUAUUAAAGGGGAGUCACUAGGUCAUUUCCACCACCUCGAUCGAUCCUAACCUCCUCUGUUUUUUAUUUUUAAGCUUGCAGCGAUUCCUGACUCCCACCGAUUUGUCUAGGAACAGAUGCCCAUCCUCCCAUGUUCGGUUUUUAGUUUGUUAUGGAAUAUUAACUAUUAUCUGUACUCCUAAAGGGGAGUUUGCAGCGGUGAUUGUAUGGUUUGAUUUCGUUCGUUUCAUUCCUCCGAAUGAAGGAUCUCGAUCGAUAUUUUCCGAACCUAACCCAUCUCCUUUUUGGUCUUUCCUACUGAUUUCCUGCCAAAACGAACGCGUGGAAAAUCAGUCCACACUACCAAAAUUAUUUCCCCUAGCUUCUCCUAAUCGUUCUGGAGCGGCCUCCUCUCAUCUCUCUAUCUGGGAUGCCCUGGCCUCUCCUUUCUCUGUGUGCAAGUGAUGGCAGCGGGGGAUCCGGGGAACGCGGGCCGGUGGCCGACGGGAAUGGGGACCAGUGGCGGCAGGGAAUGAGAUCUGGUCGCGGUCUACUCCUCUCUCUCUCUAUCUAUGUAUCUAUCUCUCUCUCUCUCUUCCCGGUGCUGGUGUCGCCGAUGCAGUACCAAGUCAGGGUGAUCUUAGUCUUCUUCAAGGUGUCAGACAGAACUGAAGAAGAUGUUGGUGCCAUGAGAGACUUUGUGAUGCAAACGAAUCAUCUCUGUAACUUUGUGAUACAAUAUAAACUUUACAAUAUAGUUGGUUUCCUAUGCAAUAUAAACUUGACAUCUUCGUCUUUUUUGUUUAUAUACAAGGGAUGGUGACUAUGUUAUUGUCAAUGGUGGUCUGACCUAUGACCCAUUUGACAUUGGUUUGCUACAUUUUAAUCUUACUUUACAUGAAUUCUUGUGAGGCUUGUAAUAAACUAUAAUGAUAUUACACAUCACUUUCUGUACUACAUUUAUGUGCAUUCGGAUCUCGCCAAGGCUAAGGUACUGUGAUUCAAGCUUUUCUUUCCAGGAUUUUAUUUUGUACAAACUGAAGAUAUCUAUGAUUUCUGAAGAUGCUUUCAUUUCUUUGGAUCUUUUAUUGUUGGUUGAAAUCUGCGUUGCAGCCCCAACUAAUGCAUCAACUUGGAACCAAGGUUCCCCCUCUAAUAAUCAGGUAGUUUGAGGAUGCAUAUGAUCAUCUUAGUACUAUAGAUCCUCAACAACCUCUGCAUCUGGGAAUGCUGGCAGGAAAGGGUUAUCUGAUAUGGUCAUGAAUGUUGAUUUAACAUGAAUACUUGCAUAUAUGCCACAUGUCACGUGUCAGCAUAGUUGAUCUAAUAUGAUAUUUUAUUUAACUGCAAAUGACUGUUUUUUCACACGAUUGCAGCAUAUAUGCCGCAUGUCAGACUCAUGGGGGUCAAACAGAUGAGGAGAAGGAAGCAGCAAGGAAGAAGGUAGAGGAGAUGGAUACCUGAUCUGCAACUUCCUGAAUUUCAACAUUUAUUGCGUGUUGCUGUGGUAAUAUUGGGUGCAGCAAUUUCACAACUCUGGGAAGAGCUUCUGCUGGAGGGCAUCACCUGCGGCAUCACCUGCAUCGACCUCUUGCUGAUUACCAUCCCAAGGAUGCGCGACCGACUGGCGGAGCAGGGCACCAGUGAUAAGUUCACCGAUUUGGUCGUCUCACCGUUCCCUUCCUCUGUCCACGCAAUGCCGCUCGUUGUUGUUAGGUUGUUAAUUCAUCAAGCCCCUUAUUGCGCUACAUAGUUUGUUCAUCUCGCAUGCCUUCUUAGGAGAAAUCAUGUAAUGAAGAUAAGCUAUUCUUGAUUUACAUUUUAUUUAUUUCUUCCUGCUACGUGUACGAUUUGCUUUGGAAAUCUUCUGACUACUUGCACGAAUUUUAGAACCUACUUGUACAGUUGCCUGCAUGUUGUGUUUGAGAAACAUCUGCUGAUUAAGUGUAAAAUAAUACUUGCAAGUUCUGUUUGUUGACUGCGCCAUGAUAAGCUUUAGGCCUUUAGCUAUACAAAAACUGCUAGAGUAGGUCGCAACCACCUGCAGCUCAAUCCUUGUUUUUCUCAACAUUGACAAUGUAAAGUAAAUGCGGAGCCAAGAUCGAUGGGUCUUGUCCACCACAUCAUUCUCCUAAUGAUGUGAUCUCGUUAUCAAAUGAAAACUCAUGUUCAUGGUUAGGAAACCUUAACCAUCUUUGAUCAACGAGCUAGUCAAGUAUAGGCUCACUAGGGACACAAUGUCUUUCUAUGUAUUCAUGCAUGUAUUUAGGUUUCCAAUCAAUACAAUUCCAGCAUGAAUAAUAAACAUUUAUCAUGAAUAAGGAAAUAUAAAACAACAACUUUAUUAUUGCCUUUAGGGUAUAUUUUCUUCAGUCUCCCACUUGCACUAGAGUCAAUAAUCCAGAUUACAUUGUAAUGAUUCUAACACCCAUGGAGUCUUGGUGCUGAUCAUGUUUUGCUUGGAAGAGGCUUAGUCAAUGGCUCUUCUAUACUCAGAUCCGUAUGUAUUUUGCAAAUCUCUAUGUCUCCCUCCUUGACUUGAUCACGGAUGGAGUUGAAGCAUCUCUUGAUGUGUUUGAUUCUUUUGUGAAAUCUGGAUUCCUUUGCUAAGGCAAUUGCUCGAGUAUUGUCACAAAAGAUUUUCAUUGGACCCGAUGCACUAGGUAUUACACCUAGAUCGGAUAUGAACUCCUUCAUCCAGACUCCUUCAUUUGCUGCUUCCGAAGUAGCUAUGUACUCCGCUUCACACGUAGAUCUGGCCACGACGCUUUGCUUGGAACCGCACCAACUGAUAGCUCCACCAUUCAAAAUAAAUACAUAUCUGGUUUGUGACACUUGGAGUCUUCCGUAUCAGUGUAAAAACUAUCCUUGGUCCUUUUCAGGUACUUCAGGAUUUUCUUGACCGCUGUCCAGUGAUCCACUCAUGGAUUACUUUGGUACCUCUCUGCCAGACUUAUAGCAAGGCACACAUCAGGUCUGGUACACAACAUAGCAUACCUGAUAGAAUCUAUGGCUGAGGCAUAGGGAAUGACUUUCAUUUUCUCUCUAUCUUCUGUAGUGGUCGGGCAUUGAGUAUAACUCAAUUUCACACCUUGCAACACAAGCAAGAGCCCUUUCUUUGACUGAUCCAUUUUGAACUUCUUCAAAACUUUGUCAAGGCAUGUGCUUUGUGAAAGUCCUAUUAACCGUCUUGAUCUAUCUCUAUAGAUCUUGAUGCCCAAUAUAUAAGCAGCUUCAUUGAGGUCUUUCAUUGAAUUUUUAUUCAAGUAUCCUUUUAUGCUAUCCAGAAAUUCCACAUCAUUUCCAAUCAACAAUAUAUCACCACGUAUAAUAUUAGAAAUGCUACAGAGCUCCCACUCACUUUCUUGUAAAUACAUGCUUCUCCGAAAGUCUAUAUAAAACCAUAUGCUUUGAUCACCUCAUCAAAGCGUAUAUUCCAACUACGAGAUGCUUGCACCAGUCCAUACAUGGAUCGCUGGAGCAUACAAACUUUGUUAGCUCCUUUAGGAUCGAAAAAACCUUCUGGUUGCAUCAUAUACAACUCUUAUUUAAGAAAUCCAUUAAGGAAUGCAUUUUUGAUGUCCAUUUGCCAGAUUUCAUAAUCAUAAAAUACGGCAAUUGCUAACAUGAUUCAGACAGACUUAACCAUCACUACGGAUGAGAAAGUCUCAUCGUAGUCAACUCCUUGAACUUGUCGAAAACCUUUUGCCACAAGUUGAGCUUUAUAGAUAGUAAUAUUACCAUCAGCGUCAGUCUUCUUCUUGAAGAUCCAUUUAUUCUUUAUGGCUCGCCAAUCAUCGGGCAAAUCCACCAAAGUCCACACUUUGUUCUCAUACAUGGAUCCUAUCUCAGAUUUCAUGGCCUCACACUACAAAAAAAUACGUGAUGAUACAUGUUUGUCACAGUAGGUCACGUUUUUUGUCAUGCAUGUACAUCCAUGACGAUUUUAUGAUAGAAUCAAGAUAGUCAUACCUGUGCUGUCGUAGAAGUGUUCCAUGACAUUACCAAAAUUAUCAUCACGAAAGUGUCCACUUCCAUGACGAUAAAUCGCGCGUUACAGAAGUGCUUUCGUCAAGGGUGACCGACACGUGGCAUCCACUAUAACGGGAUGCCGUUAAGCUAUCGGGUCGGGUUUUGGAUCCGAUAACCCGUUAACAGCCCGGACCAAUGGGAAAUUUCCACGUGUAAAAUUCUGAUUGGCUGGAGGAAACACGUGUCAGCUCGUCAGUGGGUCAGAUAGGCGCCUAUGAUAUGUCGACACGUGCGACGGCCCACCACUGACCCGUUUAGCUUACAAAGCCGAGCCGUUUGACUUGGUCAAAAGUUAGUGGGCUGGCCCAUGAAAAGCCUGUUAACUGUCUCUUCGCAAAUAGCCCAUUUUACGGCUCGAUAACUCAUGGCCCGUUAGGGCCUAACGGAAAUCGUCCCAACAACGUCAUGUGGUCCGUUGAAUAUAACACCGGCACGUUUCGCUUUCAGCCCAUGUAUGGCCCACGACGUCUUUCGGCCCAUAUGAGGCCUUCGUAUCUUUAGGCCCUUUAGAGGCCCACGGUGACUCUAGCCCAUAAUGAAUAGUAAAUUUCUUUGUACCCGUUAACGGCCCAUGAUUCACAUGAGCCAUUUCCAGCCCGUGUUAGCUUUUGGCCCACUGAUGGCCCAUGCGUUUUUGGGGCUCCUUUACUAACUUGGCUGACUCUGUAGCAUCACUGAUGGCUCAUGUUUUGACAUUUUUCAAGUAAAAAUACAAUGGAGAAUUCAGAACUAAGGAAACAUCAUUGAGCAUUAUAUAUGAAACCAGAAGGAAAACACUUGAUCUAAAGUGCACUGUUUGGGUACCUAGAACAGAACCAUGGCACAAUUUCACUUGUGUGCAGAACACUAGGAAUCAAACAACCAUAUCAUGAUGACUGGUAAUAAAAUUAGAGAGGGCAAAUCCACAACAAUGGUGACACUAGCAAUUACACCGGAAUCAUCACGAGAGGCGUAAGUGUUUCGCAAAAGAAUUAGAUAUGGUACUGUCGUCACCGGCAAAAAAAAAUAGAAUCAGAUAAAGUAUCCAAUACGAUAUCCGGCAAGCAUUGACAGGAAAUAUAUUUUGUUAUUUUGUUAAAAAUUGACAAGGAUAUCAGAAAAAUUGCACUUUUUGCUGAAGUAGCAGCAUUUGUUCAUUCAGCUGCGCAGCUGUCCUGAAGAAAUCCCUCUUGAAAACCUGAAAAUAAAAUAGUAUCAUGAAAAGCUAGAGCUAACCUAUGAAAAGCACUGGAAUGAAAUAUUCAAGAUUUUUAUGUCUUUCCUUUGAUGAUUCCAGACGUCGUCCAACGGUAUACAAUCGCAUAUAUAUCAUGACUAGUAGAUAACAAUCAGAGCUAAACAUGAGGGGAAAAUCCACUAGAAAGGUGGCACUAGCAAUUACACAGGGAUUAUCACAAAAGGCACAAGUGUUUGCGCACGUCCUGCCAAAUGGAAGCCAUGGGGGUGAGGGGCUGCAGUGGAGUUCAGUUAAAAGGGGCAAUGUGUGGGCGUGUGUUGCGAACCUAAAACUCUGAAUUUCCUCUCCAAUACAAGUCUGUAUCUGACCGUCUCUAUCGUGCACAUCACCUCCCCUCAAAUCUAUCGAUCUCUCUCUUCCCUGUCGCAAGCAAAACUGAAAGUUAAGUGUUGGAAUCAAUCAAGACAAGACAAAAUUGGCAUGGAUAGGCUCUCACUUGUGUGACCAGCAGAAGAAUCAUGGCUACAUGAGCUCAUCUUGACUUGUCGAAUCUCACUUAUACUAGACACGCACACUCGGCAUCCACUCGGCAUCCACUCGGCAUCAAAGAUCGCCACCAGUGCAAAUAUAGGGAACACCCUACACUAUACAAAAAUGGCUUGCUGUUUUCUUCAGCCGUUGGCUGCACGUUAAGAACAAAUUUUGUAUCACAGCAAAACAAAUUACAACUAUAAAACAAAAUGAAGGUUGGCAUAAAAGCUAACAGUCUAGCAGAUAAAUGCACCACCAGAAGUUUAGAAGCUCAAUUCAUUUGACCUGACUGUUACGUUUUCAUGCUCUAUUGUCCGAUGGAGCACCAUAACCUUCGUCUUCAUUUCUCCUAGGCUUCUGAACAGCAUAGCAAAUGUCUGAUAGUCUGGUUUCAAAACCAUGCAUAUCUUGACAAAAUCGAACAAUGUCUCUCCUUGUUUCACAAAGGGUCUCUGUUAGGGAAUGGACUUGUGUCUAGAGCGCAGAUAUAACAUUGAUUUGAGCUUGCAUAUAUUGAUCAUGAGGCAGUUUGGACGAGAUUGCCUUAACAACCAACCCAGUAUUACGCAGGAACGUGCUUUUUGGUACUGUUAGUGGACAGGUACUAACCCACUGCAGCAAGAGCUGACAUUGUGGUUAUAGUUGCCUCGCCACCUUCAGAAGGUGGCGGUUCCACCAUUUUUUCCAUAGCUUGCUGAAAAGUUGAGCUUUUACAUUAGUAGUACCAGAACAGAAGAUAUUAAGGAGGCAGCAAAACCAAACAAAAUAGCUUUGGUCUAUAUAGAGAACUUAUUCUGGUGAACCCAUGUAAAAUAUUAGUUGUAUUUUAUUGCAAAGUACAUAAUAAAACCAAGUUCCAAACAUAUGACCAUGUACCAUCGCUAAUGUAUUGUAUAUUUCUUCAUAUUGUAUUGACAACUAAGGAUAAAGACACGAAGUUUAUAAUACGGUAAGCAUAGUAUGACAUCAUUCAUAUCACAAAACAACUGAGAACAGACAAACAUGCAAAUGUAACGUUGUGUGGGCAAGUCCAGUACGGAACUAGAUUACAGGUCAAGAUCAAAGGAACAUCACUCCUCUAUUUUAAACCUUGUAAGGCGCAAUGAUACGCUAAGACAAUUGUGUAUAAAAUUGAAAAGAGUAAUAGACAUUGGCCGCAAACCAUGCAGUUCAAGGCACAAGUCAGAGUAAGUAGUAGUUAAAAGGCAUGAGGAUUAAGGACUUACAGCAGCUGCUUUGACUGGUGUAGUCAUGCCCCUCUUCUUGCUGGUGUGACAGUCCUUGAAGAUUUCCAAAGCAUUUGGUUCGGGUACUUUUUGGUCCUUGCGGGCUUUCCUCUGCAUUUGGAACAAGUCAAUAUAGAUCUGAUAAUAUGGUACAUCAAAAAGAGUGAAACAACAGCUAAUUACAAGAGUCUCGUAGUGUGCAAUAUAGCUACGAGAUCCUGUCGUCUGUUGGAAUUUUAAUUUCGUACGGUUGACCAUGUUCUUUGAAGAGUUCACCUACAAGAAGAUAGNNNNNNNNNNNNNNNNNNNNNNNNNNNNNNNNNNNNNNNNNNNNNNNNNNNNNNNNNNNNNNNNNNNNNNNNNNNNNNNNNNNNNNNNNNNNNNNNNNNNNNNNNNNNNNNNNNNNNNNNNNNNNNNNNNNNNNNNNNNNNNNNNNNNNNNNNNNNNNNNNNNNNNNNNNNNNNNNNNNNNNNNNNNNNNNNNNNNNNNNNNNNNNNNNNNNNNNNNNNNNNNNNNNNNNNNNNNNNNNNNNNNNNNNNNNNNNNNNNNNNNNNNNNNNNNNNNNNNNNNNNNNNNNNNNNNNNNNNNNNNNNNNNNNNNNNNNNNNNNNNNNNNNNNNNNNNNNNNNNNNNNNNNNNNNNNNNNNNNNNNNNNNNNNNNNNNNNNNNNNNNNNNNNNNNNNNNNNNNNNNNNNNNNNNNNNNNNNNNNNNNNNNNNNNNNNNNNNNNNNNNNNNNNNNNNNNNNNNNNNNNNNNNNNNNNNNNNNNNNNNNNNNNNNNNNNNNNNNNNNNNNNNNNNNNNNNNNNNAUUGUACCUAAUACUUCGGAUCAGACCAGUGUUUAACGAGGCCUCUCCAGUCUUCAUCUGAUAUAUUUUUCAUUGGAGAUGUUUGGGCAAGUUUACUGUUAGCCUUGCCUUCAAAGUGAGUUUUCCUCAAGUUAUACCGAUACUGUCGUAGAGCAGACUUUAAAACAUGGGUGCAAGCUUGUCUGGUUGCAUCAUCUUGGCUAUCCAACUUGAACCUCAUCUGUUAAAAAUUAUGAGAGUCUCAUUAUCAACAACCUAGAAAGCAUGCGACAGAGCAAGACGAUAUUACUAGUUUCCAUACAUAACCAUACUUACAGAUAAAUGGUCAAGGAAGGUGUUGAACUGGGUUUCGUCUUUGUCAUUCCUGUACUGAAACCAUGUUGGGAGGAUACGCACAUGACACCUAACGACAACCGUUGCCUCUGAUACUAACUUGGCUGACUCUGUAGCAUCACGUGGCCUUUUUAAACCUGCCUCUAAACGGAUCUCCAUUCUUCCUCCUAUGGAUUUAGUUAACCUAUCGAGCAUUAUCCCUGAUGUUUGUUUCCUCCUGCGCCUAGGUGCUAGUCCAACAACGAACAUAGGAAGUGUUAGUGUACAUCAAACUGCGAGACUACAUAUAAAGAAGCAUGCAACUGUAACUUGACUCCAUCAACUACCUUCUUGCCGUUGAAGCUCACAAGGUUCAUCUGAUCUUGCCAACUCGUCUUGUGUCAACAGUGCUUGGGAAGUAGUGUCAGGUGGCAAGGGAGCUUGGGAACGUGCUGUUAGCUCAGUUGACGCAUGAGUAACUCAUGCAGCUGGUAGUGCUGUGGAAGGUGUUGCAACAACUAGGGCUGUCUUUGCUUAUUUGGUGGCAGCUAUUUGUUUCCGUUUGGCUUGUUCUGCAGCUCGUGUAGCACGGGAUAACCAGUUCGUAGAAUUUUCCGCUGGACAUUGACCUUCUAUUGCACCAUCAGUACCAGUAGAAUCUGCAGGAUUCUUCCACUUCCCAUUCCCUGUCAUUCCGUGUUGCUUAUUCUUUCUCUGUGCCAUGUUAAGUCAAGCCGACAAGAAAAACGAAUAACAAUUUUGUUCUUCAGAAUAAAUUGAUGCGUGAUACAGACGAACUUGUUCUUGCAGAAUAAAUUUAUGUUUCCAUGGAUUUUGUUUAGAUUUUUUUGAAACUUCUAAAUAUACUUUUUGGUAUUUUCAAAAUAACGAGCUAUCUAGAGCUCGGCCUCCAAAAACCCGCACUCAGUUUGAGUUGGCCUUUAAGUCCUUCCCGGAUAUUAUGGAUGGGAUGCCCUACUACUAUGCUUACAGGUUAGAGCAAUGAACUUCAGGAAAAUGCAACUAUUAUUAAAUCUUCAGCCAAUUGCAACUUACCAUAUGUAUCAUGUUUUCCUAUAACUUGUAGAUCAAUGAGGAGUCAUUGGGAGCAUGAGAAUCAGCUUGCUAAGUGCCAGAAACCAUAGGAUCUCCCCCCAUCCCAUAUCCUCAGCUAUGUCCUACUUCUGCUCUUAAACUUUGAGAUGACGAUAUGCACGAUCCUUACAGAGCAUCACGAUGUGGUUCCCCCAGAACCAAAUAUACUCGAAAAAUCCUUCGCACAUUGCUGCCGAAAUUUAAGGAUAAAAAUGUAAACUAAAUACUAAUUCAAAAUUUUAUAUAAUAGUCAUGAAUAAGUUGGUCAUCAAAUAAUGUAUAAUAAUAUGGACAAACAAAGAGCAUAGAGAUAAAAUUUCAUAGUAUAUAGCAUGCACUAUUAUCAACACAUAAGUUUCACAAUAUACAUGUCGUUAGUCAAACUGUAGUCUCUAGUCAUGAAUUAGUCGCAUAGUGUCCAUCUAGUAUGCAAGUAAAAUUUUGUAUUAAUAUAAACAAUAAACGCAAAGGUCUUACUUUCAAAUUUAGUGAAUGUGAAAGAAUAUUUUAGAAAAGAUACCUUUAAAUUCCUUUGGGUCAUUUUUCCUAUAAUAUAAGAUACACAAACCUUGGGCACAUGUGACAGAAUCUUGCAACCAAAAUAGUGAAAAUGACUUGAUUUUCUAUUUAUAAUCCAUAAAAACUUGGACGAUAGAAAAAAAAACCAAGAAGACGAUUUGAUUUUUUUAGUAAACAAAAUAAAAACUGAUUUUUUUUAGUUAACAACAUACAAAUAUGAAAACCAACACAUUAUUGUCAUGUUGUAUCUCCAUAUGUUAUGGACCAGAUGAAGAAAAGAGUGAGCAGCACAGGGAAAUGCCAAAAGGAGCCAACCGUAUGCAACAGCCAAAUCUACAUCUAGUCUUGAUGGUAACAUGGCAUGGACAACAAAGUUGGAGAAGUGAGGAAUUAUGUAGCAUGUGGGAAGCAAAAGAGGCAUGAACAGGAAGCGCAACAGAAUGGGAAUGAGAAAAGAAAGUUGUUUGCGCUUUCGGAACAAGACGAUCACAUUAACAACACAUGAAGUCAAAUGAGUGGUUGAACGGGGACUUCUGUUGGACGUCUGGAAUGGAUUCAAGACAUAUACAUGAAGCAAAUAAAAUAAAAUAAUCGAUUAUUAUUUGUGGCAUGCUGCACGUACAUGUAGAGUAAGUGGGAGCAUACACAUGAAGACUUAGUGGGAAAACGUUUUUACAUGAUAUACCUGCUUGAUAAUGUGGAUAGGUUACAUGUCAAGAUAAAUAAUAUAGUGGGGAUGACUGUUGAGCAAUGUUCAAAAUAUUGCUCUUGGGAUUUUUUAGAAUUAAGUCAAUUGGCAUCUAGUCGGUCCCUACAGAUCGUUGUUUUGUAUUUCUUCUAGGACGUCACCUUGACUGACAUCUUUUGACCAUAUGAUCCUGACUCACCUCUCCUCUCUCCUGAAUAGUUACUUCCACUCACACCCGGAUAUCCCUUUUGGAGCUCGGCCUCUAGUGAGGCCUCCAAAUACAAAUUUCAAAUUUCAUCAAAAUUCAUAUUUUAAUAUUUUAAAAAAUUCUAAAAAAUAAUACAGAUAUACAUGAAGGCAUAACACACAUGUUUGUAAAUUUUCAGUUUAAAAUACAUUGAAAUGAGGGCUGUGCAAAAAAGACAAAUAUGAUGUUGUUUAACACAUGAUACUAUUCAUUCUCUCAGGCCAUGAAUUUGUCUUUUUUGUACAGGUCGCAACUCAAGGUAUUUCAUCAUGAAUUUUUACACACAUGUGAGUUACAUCCUUACAUAUACGCAUUUUUUUCCAGAAUUUUUUGAAUCAUAAAAGUUUGAAUUUGAAAUUUUCAAAAACAAAGGCCUUCAUGGAGCUCGGCCUCCAAAACGCCUUUCUCACUCACACCACACUUGUCUCUCCCACCAACUAGUACAUACAUUUGAUUUUCCAAGCUUAAACUUAGGACAAGCCCAAUAUGUUGAAAUAAAUAGCCGAUAAAUAAUCUGAAACAUGUCUCUUUCUUUUGAUGAUAUAUCCAAAACAAGCCCCACUAUGAGUGAAAUUAGUUUUUUGAAAUCAAUUAUUUUUUUAAACUAGUGUCUUUUUUUGAAAUGAGAGAAAUUGUUUUCUUGAAGUUAAAUCAUUGUGUUGAAAUGAGUGAAAUAUGUGUUUGAAGUAGUGAAUUCAGUUUUUUGAAAUGAGUAAAUCAGUAUUUUCAAAUGAGUGGAAACAACGCUGCGUGCCUCUCUCAACCCCUGUUUCCUUCCGUGUGAAAGGCCACGGGCGAGUUACUUUGCCGUCGGAUCUUUCUCGUUGUACAAAUAUAAAGUUUUGCAACUUUUCACCAAUAAUACUCGUUCUACCGCUUCUGAAUCAUGGAAGAUUCAGAUCAAAAUAUAUCACUAAGCAUUAGCAGAUGCAAAUGACUUGCAUGUCAGCAGUGCUUAAGAAUAAAGGACAUAGUUUGGACUUUGGAGCUUAAUUAAUUAGCAUCAAUAUGAUACUAGUACAAACAAUGCAACACGGCUAACUUUAUGCAUGCAUGCUCAGACCAAGACACCAUCUCACACACCACUGCUUUCAUUAUACCUUAACCAAUCAGAUACGCACACCCGGAGGCCAAUGACAUCAUGACACGUACGAGCCACACAUGCAUGCUCACGCAGCUAAUCAAAGGACUUCUUAUCACACUAACAGAUGCAUGUAAAUGAAAGCAGGGACACACGUACGUACAGCUACUACCACGUUCACAAACGCGCUCGUAUCCCGGCCACCUCAAGGUAUCACGCCACCGCCUCCCCCUCCUCCACCUCCGCCACCAGCGCCGAAGCCGCCGCCAAACCCACCGAAGGGCCCAGCGCCGGCACCAAACCCGCCGUGCGGACCAAAGCCAGCGACGCCCCCGCCGAGAGGGCCACCGUUGACGGCACCGCCGAAGAGGCCGCCGUCACCACCGUUGCUCCCAGCAAAGGCGGUCUUGGCUUCGCCGAAACCAGCACCGUCUUGGUUGUUGCGACCGGCAGCAAGAGCAACGGUGUCGCAGUCGUCCCCGGCAGGCAUGCCCCUGCCGGCCACCGCCACGGCGAGGCACAGCAGGAGGGAGGCGAUGCACCACCACUUGCUCAUGGCUCUUGGGUUUGUCUCUGCGAGGUGGCUGAGGUGAGUAACGCAGUGGCAGGGGGGUUUAAAGGGAGGAGGAGGACGAGAUGGCCAGAUGGGCAGGUGCGAGCGCGUGACAGUAAUUAAAUUUUGGCAGCCGGCAAGCGGGUGGUUGUUGCCAUGCAUGGCGCAAUAACUCGGAGAUGAAGAAGUAGGUCCAUGAGAAGUUAUUGCGAUCGACGCAGGGUAUCUUGUACUGUAGCUACACUCGUCAGAAAUAAAGUGCUGAGACGAUUUUACUCAGUGUUAGUUUUGACAGCGUAAAAUGUGCAGUGCAUUAUAAACCACUUGAGAAAACCAGCCAAAAGAGAUUGUCACCGGAGAUGACUCCGUGGUGGCUCGAGAUCAGUUCGGUUGCAUGCUUGUCACUUCUGACGUUUUAAUAUGAUAUCUGUUGGAAAUAUGAGCAAAUUACUACGAGAUUUAAUCUGAAUAAAUAGAAAAUAGAUCAUGACAGCAAUAGCAGAGAUUAAACUAAUCAUGUGAACUAGCAUAGCAGAUGAACAAAUCACAUCUAGGGCACAUACUAGAAACAUGAAUUCUACCACGAUCUCGAACAGGAAGGAUAGAAUCACAUACGGUGCAGCGGGAGCAGCACCGCCGGCGUUGACGUUGUCGCCCAUGUCGUCGAGGAUGAGAUUGCCGAGGUCGGGGAAGAAGUCGUCGUUCGCGAAGUCGUCGCUGCCAGCAGUCGCGCGAGUGCGCUCCCCAAAAACCUGAUCGCCCCUCUCCCGUACAGGAUCACGAGAGGCGGGGUUCCGAAGGCCUGCUGUCCCUUCUCCCGGUGCACGCCGAAAGGAGGGAUGGAGAAGACUUGCUUGGCGGCGCAAUGAUCUGGAGCGCUGGUGAGAAACCAUACGAAGCGGCGGCGGCUAAAGUAGACGUCUGCCUGACUAUAUAGUGCGGGCCGGGUAGGUCGUGGGAGUAUCCAAAAGAAUCGGAAACGGUUCAGUAAUUAACGCGUCCGUUAAUUAUUAAUUAAUGACUCAUUAAUUUUCCCGAGCAGCAAAAAUAUAGACAACGUGCAUAGCUCUGUCCUCGGCUCGGCUCAAUACCGCAACCCGCGGCGCGGCGCGGCGCGGCGCGGCGCGUCGUGACGAGGCGUGGCGUGGCGAGGAGGAGGAGCGCGCGUGUAGGUCUCCUCUUCUCAUGCUCAUACAAGUGGUAGAAGAGCUCACCUUAUAAAGAGGUGCAACUCUCUCUCAACUUAUGAGGUGGGACUAAACUUUAGCCUCACUCACUCCACUCACAUGUGUGCAUGAAUGGGCCAAGAGAAUUUCACAAUUUUAGUUGGGCUUUGGGCCAAAAACCCACUAGCAAAUUCCAACAAUCCCCCACAAAGUCUCAUUGGCACAUUUCACCAUUUAUUUUCAAAACAUUGUUUAUAUACCGGUGCUUAGUGGAGACUGUGAAGUUUAACUUCCACUUAGAGAUAUAUGCUACACUAGAUCACAACUUGAAUAGUGGACUAUGCCUUGAACUACAAGUUUUCUGCGAGACUAGUUUCACACAAACUCUUGACCGAUACUGGGCUGCCGCAAGGCUUCCCCGCAGGUGGAGCAUAUACGUCAUACUCCAGGGCCUUUCAUGAAUUUAUUAGAGAACACCCAAUUCUCACAGACUGCGAUGUUAACAGUCAAAUUCAUAUAGGUGUGUUCCUCAGAAGAUGUUCUGCAGGACAACAUCUCUGCUUACCCGAAUAAGCCACUUGGAACACAUUAAGAUAAGUAUCAACCUGCCAUGCAGAUCAGGAGAGUAUUGCAUCUUCACGGAGUGGGAUAGUUAAUAUAGGGAUACUCUCCUCCCAGCUGACCAACAGCUUGUCUUCCACUUCUACUUCACGGGAUCUCCGAUCACAUAGAGUGGGUUACCAUUGUGGACAACUCAUGCGGUGGGUCUCAGACCCAUCUCCAUCGAUGCAUUAUCUAUCACAUUACAUGAUAGACCCUUUGUGAAGGGAUCUGCCAAGUUUUUCGAUGUUUGGAUAUAAUCCAAUGUAAUAACUCCGGAGUUCCUCAGUUUCCUGACAGAUUUUAAUCUCCUCUUCACAUGCCUUGAGGACUUCAUAUUGUCCUUAGCACUGUUUAUCUUGACGAUCACAGUUUGAUUAUCACAGUUCAUCAGGAUAGGGGGUAUUGGUUUUUCAACCAUAGGUAAGUCCAUCAAUAGCUCACGAAGCCACUCUGCUUCAACAGUGACAGUGUCUAAUGCUGUGAGUUCUGCUUCCAUAGUUGACCUCGUUAAGAUGGUCUGCUUGCAAGACUUCCAGGAAACAGCGCCACCACCAAGUGUAAAAACAUAACCACUUGUGGCCUUAAUUUCAUCAGCAUCAGAUAUCCAGUUCGAGCCACUAUAACCCUCCAGUACCCUUGGAUACCCGGUGUAGUGAAUCCCAUAGCUCGCAGUGCCCUUCAAGUAGCGCAUAACUCUCUCAAGCGCACGCCAAUGAUCAUAUCUCGGUUUUGACACAAACCGACUCAGCUUGCUCACAGCAAAGGAGAUGUCAGGCCUCGUGGCACUCGCCAAAUACAUAAGCGAGUCAAUAAUUUGAGAAUACCUCAGUUGAUCUCUAGCAAUCCGUCGAUUCUUUCGAAGCAACACACUAGCAUCAUAUGGAGUUGGAGAAGGCGUGCAGUCGCUAUACCCAAAACGACUCAAGACCUUUUCCACAUAGUGAGACUGAAGCAGUGUGAUCCCACCAUUCUCAUCUCUCAACAGCUUGAUGUUUAAGAUAACAUCAGCUACUCCUAGAUCCUUCAUCUCAAAACGCGAGAUAAGAAAUCCUUAACCUCCUUGACUAAAUCAAGUUUGGUUCCAAAGAUCAAUAUGUCGUCGACAUAUAGACAAAGAAUAACUCCUUCGCCCCCACCAUAGCGAUAGUACACGCACUUGUCACCAUCGUUUACUACAAAGCCGACAGUAGUUAAUGUUCUUUCAAACUUCUCAUGCCACUCCUUAGGAGCUUGCUUAAGGCCAUAUAAAGACUUUAACAACUUGCACACCUUUCCUUCCUGACCAGGUACUACAAAACCAUCUGGCUGAUCCAUGUAAAUUUCCUCCUCCAACUCUCCAUUGAGGAAAGCCGUCUUAACGUCCAUUUGAUGAACGAGAAGACCAUGUGAGGCAGCCAGUGAUAGUAGCACCCGAAUUGUGGUCAGUCUAGCCACGGGUGAGUAAGUAUCAAAGAAGUCUUCACCUUCUUUCUGGGUAUAACCCUUAGCCACAAGCCGUGCCUUGUACUUUUUAAUCGUACCAUCAGGUCUAAGCUUCUUCUUGAACACCCACUUACAUCCUACAGGUUUGCACCCAUAAGGACGGUCAGUGAUCUCCCAGGUUUCGUUAGCUAAGAUGGAAUCCAUCUCGCUACGAACAACUUCCUUUCAGUAGUCAGCAUCAGGAGAUGCAUAUGCUUCUGAAAUAGUCCUGGGUGUGUCAUCCACAAGGUACACAAUGAAAUCAUCACCAAAGGACUUUGCAGUCCUCUGUCUCUUACUCCUUAUAGGAGUUUCAUUGUCACCCUCUCAACUGGAUUCUCAACGUGUUCCAUCGCAAUGGUGGGUUCAGGAAUUACAGUGAGUUCCUCACUAGAUGGAAUAGGUAUCUCCUGAUUUGAUGAACUUGACAUAUCCUUCAUAGGAAAUAUAUCCUCAAAGAAAGUUGCAUCAUUAGACUCCAUAAUCGUACCAACAUGCAUGUCGGAUACCUCAGAUUUUAUUAUCAAAAAUCUAUAGCCAAUGCUAUGAAAAGCAUAGCCCAGAAGAACACAAUCCAUGGUUUUUGGUCCAAGCUUGCGCUUCUUGGGAAUUGGUAUAUUGACUUUCGCCAAACAACCCCAAGAACGUAGGUAAGAGAGUUUCAACCUUUUCCUUUCCCAUUCCUCAAAUGGAGUCAUGGUCUUAUGCUUUGUGGGAACUCGGUUUAGGACAAGACACGCGGUCAUUAGCGCCUCCCCCCACCAUUCCUUGGAAAGACCCGAUGUGUCUAACAUGGCGUUAACCAAAUCAGUUAGAGUUCGGUUCUUUCUUUCGGCCACCCCAUUAGACUGAGGUGAGUAGAGAGGCGUCCUCUCAUGGAUUAUACCAUGUUCCUCACAAAACAGAUCAAAUUCAUUGGAAAAAUACUCUCCACCACGAUCGGACCUAAGCCGUUUAAUUUUUCGAUCAAGUUGGUUCUCUGGCUCAGCUUUAUAGUUUUUGAAGAAAGUUAAAGCCUCAUCUUUUGAUUUCAGAAGAUACGCAUAACAAUAUCUAGUGGAGUCAUCAAUCAACGUCAUGAAAUAUCUCUUUCCACCUUUUGUCAACACGCCAUUCAUCUCACAAAGAUCAGAAUGUAUAAGCUCUAGUGGUGCCAAGUCUCGUGCCUCUGCAGUCUUAUGGGACUUGCGAGGUUGCUUAGCUUGCACACAUACUUGGCACUUAGAGCCUUUGACAGCAGAGAUUUUUGGAAUUAAAUUCAGAUUGGCUAGCCGCGUCAUGCUACCAAAGUUAAUGUGACAAAGUCGUGAAGGCCAAAUAUCAGACUCAUUGUUGUGGCAAACAUUAUUAAUAACUUUAGUGCAAAUAUCUGACAAAGAUAGGCGGAACAAGCCUCCGCACUCAUAGCCUUUUCCAACAAAUUGUCCACACUUGAAAAUUACAACUUUAUUGGACUCAAAAACCAACUUAAAACCAUCUCGACAUAAAUGGGAACCGCUAAUGAGAUUUUUAUUGAUGGACGGCACAUGAUGAACGUUCUUCAGACGCACGGUCUUCCCCGAAGUAAACUUCAGAUCGACCAUACCAACACCUCAAACGAUGGCAUGUGACCCGUUCCCCAUCAGCACGGGAGAAGUCCCUGUGGCCUGGUAAGAAGAAAACAUGGAGGCGUCAGCACAAACAUGUACAUAGGCACCGGUGUCAAUUAACCAAUCAGGGGAUUGAAAUACUGAAAGGAUGGUAGGAAAAAUACCGUACCCUGAUUCCUUCAUAUCAGUAUCACCGAUGACAACAUUAGCGGACUUGCCGCUCUUCUCAUGUUCGCGCUCCUCAAAGCGGUUAGGACACUUCGGAGCCCAGUGAUUAGGAUCACCGCAGACAUGGCAAAGUCCCUUCCCCUUCUUAUGAGAAUUCUUCUUGAAGUUGGUAGAAUAUGAUGGCUUGUUCUUUGUAUCAAACUUGCCUUUGCCCUGAGUUUUGUUCUUGUUGUUUUUGAACUUGUUGGGCUGGAAGUUCUUCUUCUGUACCAUGUGGGCACUAGAAGCUCCCUCAGCAACUCGAGCACGUGUGUCUUUUGCUCUCGCCUUCUCUUCAACAUCAAGAGUACCAAUGAGAUCCGUAACAGAGAACUCCUGUCUCUUGUGUUUCAGGGAAGUAGCAAAAUUGUUCCACGAAGGUGGAAGCUUGGCAAUAACGCCUCCGGCAACAAAUUUGUCCGGCAACACACACUUAAAGUGCUCAAGUUCUUUUGCGAGCGACUGUUUCUCAUGAGCCUGCUGUACAACAGAGCGCUCAUCAGUCAUCUUGUAGUCAUAGAAUUGCUCCAUGACGUACAACUCGCUACCGGCGUCCGAGGCACCAAACUUGGCCUCGAGCGCAGCCCACAUGUCAUUGCCGUUGUCAAACGACAUAUACGAAUCCACAAUGGAAUCAUCAAGAACACCCAGAAGAGCGCCUUUAAAGAGAGUAUCGAUCUUCUCAAAAGCUUCCAACUGUGCUGGAUUAAGAUCGCCCUCAGGCUUGCCCUUAAUGGCGUCAUAGCAGCCCAUGGUCUGAAACCAGUAGACUGCUCUCGUGCGCCACCUCUUAUAUUGCGCCCCCUUAAAGGCAGGCGGCUUCAGAUGCGCAGCAAAAUCACUCGGAGUAAAUUGCCUAUAAUCAGGUUUUUGGAUUGUUGGAAAUAUGAUCAAAUUACUACCAGAUUUAAUCUGAAUAAAUAGGAAAUAGAUCAUGACAGCAACAGCAGAGAUUAAACUAAUCAUGUGAACUAGCAUAGCAGAUGAACAAAUCACAUCUAGGGCACAUACUAGAAACAUGAAUUCUAUCACGAUCUCGAACAUGAAGGAUAGAAUCACAUACGGUGCAGCGGGAGCAGCACCGCCGGCGUUGACGUUGUCGCCCAUGUCGUCGAGGAUGAGGUUGCCGAGGUCGGGGAAGAAGUCAUCGUUCGCGAAGUCGUCGCUGCCAGCGGUCGCGCGAGUGCGCUCCCCAAAAACCUGAUCGCCCCUCUCCCGUACAGGAUCACAAGAGGCGGGGUUCCGGAGGCCCGCUGUCCCUUCUCCCUUCUCCUGCUGCCCCUGUUCCGGAGGCCAAAAAGAAUCGGAAACAGUUCAGUAAUUAACGCGUCCGUUAAUUAUAAUUAAUGACUCAUUAAUUUUCCCGAGCAGCAAAAAUAUAGACAACGUGCAUAGCUCUGUCCUCGGCUCGGCUCAAUCCCGCAACCCGCGGCGAGCGAGGAGGAGGAGCGCGCGUGUAGGUCUCCUCUUCUCAUGCUCAUACAAGUGGUAGAAGAGCUCACCUUAUAAAGAGGUGCAACUCUCUCUCAACUUAUAAGGUGGGACUAAACUUUAGCCUCACUCACUCCACUCACAUGUGUGCAUGAAUGGGCCAAGAGAAUUUCAGAAUUUUAGUUGGGCUUUGGGCCAAAAGGCCACUAGCAAAUUCCAACAAUAUCCUUUCAUUAACGGUCAAUCGAUGAACUCCUUGACCUGGCACUUUCCAUCUGCCCCUCAAAUUAAGGCCUGACCAAAUCAGGGGCAGCCAAAAUAUUGACUUGGUGUCAGAAUAGCUGAAGAGAGUCAUGGUGGGCUGGGCGUGCCAAAAAGUUGGAUGCCAUCCAAACAGACAUUCAUCGCUCGGUCAAAUCUAAUAUUUUGGCAUGGCAGGCGAUGGUUGCAAUCCAAACAACCCCUAACAACAAGGUAGGCCCCAGCUCUCGUUUGUACAACACUGACGUGUAAAAGAAUGCUAUAGUUUGCAAUUUUGCAUCUCACAAGUAUAGAUCAUCUUGUAGUAACUGGCAUGAUCUUGAACGUCUAAGAAAAUUAUGUCCCAGAAACUGGGAUGUUUUUUUUCCUGAAGGAGAAUUAGAAAUUAAUGAUGUCGCCUACAGUGAUAACAUCAGUGUGAGCUACAUGAGUAUCCUUAGCGUAUACCUCCUAGAAGGAAAAUUAUGUGAUACUGUGCAAGUACCGCUAUCUACCAAUAUUCCAAGACCAAACAGUAUCCAUCCUUUACAACCCUGACUGUUCAGUCAUGCGAUCAUUGACAUAAUGACAUAUACACUAAUUUGAUUUCUUAGCCGAGUACCCCUGGAACUCGACAUGCCACGACGCGGUCCUCAACCGACCAUACAAGAAAGAAUGACAUUGUUCCGCCGUUGCAUUUUGGUAACUUUGAGCACAUUCUGCACUGGCAUAGCUAAGUUUUUUUCUUUUUGAGGGAACACCAAGCUCAGAUUUGGUUUAAACUUGUACUCCAUAGUGUCAUGAUAUAGAAACAAUAGAUUUGCAGUGAGUAACAACUGAAAACUAAUGAUAUUGGUAUGUAAGUCUUUGUAGCUCAACACAUAACACAUGCAUUGUUUCUAUGCGAGAAAGAUGGCAUAUUAGUUGCAUGCUCAAGGCCUAAAAUUCUACUCCCUCCGUUUCAUAUUAGUUGAAGCUGAGUUAUUAUAAACUGUACUAAAUUAGCGACAACUAAUAUGAAAUGAAGAGAGGAUAUAAAUUCAACCGCGUAAGAUGUCAAUAUUAAUCACAUACACAACACACAGAUUUAUAUAACUUGGCAUUGAGCUAAUAAAAGAUAUCAAGCGAAACAUAUAUUUCAUAUUUUGCUGCCACUAUAUUGAUAUAAAGAUAUAACAAUAAUGGCUCCUCACUCCAGCCUCCACCCACCUCCCACCUCACCAAUGGCGGCCAUUGACCAAGGCCUUUUUAACUGGGAUUUCUCACCUGGCCUGGUCGCAGCUCAGGUGCAUUAACCCUUUGGCUGUACUCCCUCCGUCCUUUGAAGAGUGUACUUCAAACCUUUAUAUGUUUGACCGUAUUUAUACAAUAACGCAUCAACAUUUAUGCCAUCAAAUUAGUAGCAUUAGAUUCAUGAUAAAAUAUAUUUUCAUCAUAUACCUAAUUGGUUUCGUAAACAUUGAUAUAUUUUUGCACAAACUUGGUCAAACAUUGAGAUAGUUUGACCCUCCAACAAAAUUAAAAGUACACUCUUUAAAGGACGGAGGGAGUAUGGUGCAUUUCCCUUCUUCUGGCUUGACCAAGGGGGUUUUCUUGGUUGUCUCCUUCUCCUCGGCAUCCUUUACUCUCAAGCUAGAUUCAGUUGGUUUUUGCCCGAUUUGUGAUGAAUCCCGACAUCUAGAGGUGGAUUGCCCGCGGAUUCAUGUUCUGUGUCAACAACGAUCCUGCAUUGUUGUACGCCUACGACUACUAAUCAGGAGCACUAUACUAAUUUAUUUUUUAGUCUAAACACACUCGACUUUAUUGAUUAUAAAAGUUCAUAGGAAGACUAUAGUAAAUGAGUCCCUCCUAUAGAUGCUACAAAGAAGCACCUCGCUCUUGGCCCAAUAAGCCCAUGGGACCACACUCUGACGUUCGUUCACAAUGGACCAAUCCGCGGAUUGCCCAGGGACUUCUAUUUAGCACGNNNNNNNNNNNNNNNNNNNNNNNNNNNNNNNNNNNNNNNNNNNNNNNNNNNNNNNNNNNNNNNNNNNNNNNNNNNNNNNNNNNNNNNNNNNNNNNNNNNNNNNNNNNNNNNNNNNNNNNNNNNNNNNNNNNNNNNNNNNNNNNNNNNNNNNNNNNNNNNNNNNNNNNNNNNNNNNNNNNNNNNNNNNNNNNNNNNNNNNNNNNNNNNNNNNNNNNNNNNNNNNNNNNNNNUUUUUCGUUCUUUAAAAUAAUUCAUGAUUUCAAAACUAUGGGAAACAGCUAAUUUGCCGUCAGGGGCGUCUUUGCCAUCAGCUUUUCGUCGGACAGACGACAAAGAAAGGAUUUGCCACCAUCAGUAGACGACAAAGAAAAACUGACGGCAAAAUAGACUUUGUUGUCUGUCGAAAAAAAAACACAGAUGACAAAUGGCUCACUUUGCCGUCUGCGAAAACAAACACAGACGGCAACGAUCUUUGCCAUCUAGGUUUUCUAUUACAGACGGCAAAAAGCACAAUUUGUCGUCUGUAAUAAAUGCUGACUGCAAAGGUCUUUGCCGUUCGUGUUCUAUAUUGCAGAUGGCACCGUUUGUAAUAUAAAACGCAGACGACAAAGAAGAAGCACACCACGCAGAUCAAUGACGUGACGGCCCCUCCAAACCCACGCAGCCACAACGACCCAUCCUUAUACAUGCAUGCAGCCCCACCCACCCACCCACACCGCCAUCCCACCCACGCCCGCACACACCACACAAACACACCCACGCAUCCACGGCCCCGCUUCUAGUCAUCUCCGGCGUGUCCGCCAGACCCGUCGCCCGUCGCCUCCGCUGUACCGGCCCGGUACCCCGUCGCCCAGGCGAGCAGGGAGGCAGCGGCCCUGUCUCUAGUCACUGGGUCGGGCCCUCCCCCAUCGCCCCGAGGAGCCGCACGUGGCCGGCCAUGGCGCCACCAGCCCCGGCCCUCCCCUGUCUGCUUAAGCAGUGGCCGGCCCUGCUGCCUGGUGCCGCCGGCCCCGGCCCCCUCCCCCUCUUUGCCCCUGGCACCCGUCGCCCUGAGCAGCCAUCGGCCUCCUCCGCACGACGCCCGGCUUGGCUCACCGCCCGCCUCCGAGCAUCAGCAGAUGCCCACCCCCGCCUAAGCCGCCCUCCUCUUCCUCCCUCUCUCCCUUCUCUCAGGUCGCGGGCGUCCAGAUCGAACUCCUGUACUCUAACAUAAUAUAAUUUGUUCGUGUAUAAUCGGUUCAUCUUGUUAAAUAGAGUAGUUUUGUUUUGGACAGCUAGUGAUGAUGAAUAUUUUUGUCUUGUGAAGUAUGUUCGUUCAUCGUUGAUUCUUGAGACAGCAGUGUGUAUGGAUAUUGUGGUGUUCUUCGUCAGUUAGUUCUUCGUCGCCUCUGCACUUGUUUGCACGAUAUUUUUUAAAGUAAAAACAAUUAUUUGUCCUCUAUGAUGUUUGACGCUGAUGACAAAGAUGGAUUAUGGCUGACGGCAAAGGACUGACACCGUCCGUCAGGGCCUUUGGUCUGUUAGGUCGCUUUUUUUUGCCACCUGGCUAGUCUCACUAACGGCAACCACAAUUGCCUAACGGAAAAUCUUUGCCGUCACCCCGAUGAAAAACUGAUGGCAAAGUACCUCUUUGCCGCUUCAGCUUUACCGUCUAUCUUUGCCGUCUGUAUAACGAUCUUUGCCGAAUGUACAUGCCUGACGGCAAAGUAGCCGAUUCUUGGAGUGAAAAGAUCCAAUUGUUUUGAAUUUCCAAAAAUGUUCAAAGCUCAUGGGUUCAAAAAAAUGUUCAUAAUUUUGAAAAAUUUGCACGAUUUUGAAAACAAUGUACAUGAUUUUCAAAAAUGUUCAUGUAUUCAUUUUUGGUUGUGAACUUUUUACAAAUGUUCACAACAAUAAAUAAUGUUCGUGAAUUAACAAAAAAAGUUCAUCAAUUCAAAAAAUGUGAUGAAUUCAAAAAAUGAUCACCCCUUUUAAAAACAUGUUCUUGAAAAAAUGAAAUUCAAAACUUGUUCUAAAGUUCCAAAAAUAUAAGUAGAUUCAAAAAAUGUUCGCCGAUUCAAAGAAAUGUUCACUAGUUAAAAAAAUUCAAUAAUUGUUCACAAUUUGUAAAAACAAUCAUGGAUUCAGAAAAUGUUAUGAACUAGCAGAGUGGCCCGCCCGAUGUGCGGACUAGAAUUUUAUAAUUAUUUUCGGAGAACACAAUGUGUGAGGGCUCCAUCUUCAAUUUAUUCAAAGUUCAAAGAAUUUGGAAAAGAAAUUAAUGUUUUUUCUAUAUGUUCACAUUGGGUAGGAAAUAAUACAUAUGUAUAGCCACAACUAUUAUCAUUAUGCUACUUUGUUAGAAUAAUGAUGAUUAAUUGUAGCAUUCCUAUAAGUACCAAAUUAUACAUAGGUAUAUCUGCACAUCAUAUUGGAUCACCGCAUAGAAAGAAACUUUAAUCCACAAGCUAGUUGAUAGUUUCCAUAUUGGAUCACUGGGACGCUGUCUCGGUGGGACCGAUUGCAAAACUCAGUGAGACCGAAUUAUUUCAACAAGUUACAGAAGGUUUGCCAAGUCGUCUCGGUGGGACCGAUUGCAAACUCGGUGAGACCAUAAUUGCAACUGGUUACAGAAGGUUGGGCAGGCAAAACCGGUGGGACCAAGAACCAUAUCGAUGACUUUGAUUUGUUAGGGUUUGGCUGUGGCAGUGUCUAGAUGAACUCGGUGGCUCCAGAUAGGGAAAUUUUGGUGGGACCGAGUUGGAAUGUAGGGUUUGGAUAUAUUUAGUUAGAGAAAGUGGUCGAGGGUUUUGGAGGAAUAUCACUAAGCACUUGAGCAAAUAUAUCAUAAUCAAAACCUCAUCCCCCGUUUAAUAGUAUUGGCUUUCCUAUGGACUCAAUAUGAUCUUGGAUCACUUAAAAAUGAAGAGUCUUGAUAUUUUGCCAAUCCAUGUCCUUAGCAUUUUGAGGGGUCCACAAUCACUUGUCCUUGCCAUGCCAAUCAUUGAACACCCUGAAAACUUUAAUAGUAAAGUGGCCUGCUCGAUGCGCGGGCUAAAACUAUUUUUUCUUUUAAUAAUAAGCAUGUUAUUUUUUUUAUCUUGUGUAUAUGUUGAUAUGCAAUGGGUCAACUUAUAGCCGAAGAACUAAAUGAUGGCAGCAAGUUAUGAAUGUCAAAUACAACUUAAGGUGUAGUUUUAAUUUGUUUCUGGCUCCUCGACUUCUUUACAAAGCUUGGGAAUAACAUUGGCAGUAUUAGACCCCCAACCCACAUUAAUGUGCAACAACCUAAAGAAUUGCUACAGGGAUCUGUUGCCAUGCUUUUUGAUGAAAUUUAAAUAAAAAUUAAAAUAGAUAUAAUAUAUUUGAUUAAAAAAUAUAUAAUAUAAGUACAGUUUUUCAUGCAUGUUGAGCAAAUUAUAUUUUGAAUGAUUUAAGUUGGGAUAUGUGCAUGUUGGGAGAGAAUAAUAGCAAUUUACAUGCAUGUCUAGAGAAAUAGGUAGUUGGGUGAUGAGGUGCAUGCUUGGUGGUGGCAUGUGUGCAUCAGAGAAUUGAGAUAGUGGGGAACAACUACUUAGGUAUAUAGGAUUAGUGUACUUGUGAUUAUCUAUAGUUUUAAUAUUCCCCCUAUUAAGUUUUAACAAUUGACUAUGAAAUAGCUCUCAUUGCAUUGUGCUUAUAAAAUUGAAGCAUGUCGGGAGGAAUUACCACGGAUAUGUCGCGGUUCAUCUAAGCUAGAUUAAGCGGCUAGCGGCGUAAGCUAUGCUUCAAUCUUGCAACUUGGCAAUUUUUGCAUGUUGCAGCUUGGUAGGCAAUGCUUGCCCUGCUGCAAUGUACAUGUAGCUUGGCAAGGUUGGCGUUAUUGUGGCCUCGUUUGCAGAUGACACCCGAGCGAUCAUGAAGAUGCCAGCUUCGCAACGUAGGCGUACCUGAAACACCAUCAUGCAGCUUAUGAGCGUAGAUGAAUAUUGCCUCUUGUUUCCACGCUAGGGCACCCGUGAUGGCUGCUCCGCAAGCUGUGCGUCUUGCAGCUUCUAAGUCCCUGACACAUCCAAUCAUCCCAGCGGGAGAGGAGGUCACCACUGCCUUGUUGCAGCUGUCCCCAAAAUAUUGUAUAUGUCAUUAUGCUUGAUUUUAGGCUGGGGAGACCCUUCGGAAAGAGUUGAUGGACAUGUCAUGUUUGAGUUUUUUUUGUGAGAGAGCAUGGUAGGCACGUUGGGGACUCCCGCUUGGUUCCAAAAAUACCAUAUUUUUUUUUUAACAACACAAUCCUAUAUAUGGUAUGGACUCUUGGUGCUUUUUUUUUAUUAUCACGGACUCGUGGUGGGUUGCCACAAUGCUAUAUAUAUCAUGCAUUCAAACAAUACAUGUUAUGCAUAUGAAACGGUUAUAUAAUCAUAAUUUUAAUAGAUCCACCAGAUCAAGGGCUAGUAUUUACUAAUUAAAGUGGAAUUUUCUAGCCUAUUUCUCUGCUUCUUAUUAACUCGUCAAUUACUUUUUAUAUAUAAAUAGAUAAUAGGGCAGUUACUUUCUUUGAAAAGUCUAGUUUAUUUUCUUUCCUAGGAUUGUAUGUUGAGAGAUGUAUCUUUUUUUCUUACCCAAUUUUUUCCCAGGAAGCACAUUUAGUUUUUUUUUCUUUACUAGGAAUGUACGUGAGGUGGUGCACAUUAUUUGAGUACAAAUAUUAUCUUUCCUUGUGCUGUACGUGGGGGCUGUGGCCCACCAUGUUUUAUAUAUGUCACAUAGUUGAACGGUCACAUAAUCUUAAUUUUAAGAGACCCAUCAAAUCAAGGGCUAGUAUUUUCUAAUUAGUGUGAGAUUUUCUAGCCUAAUUCACAUGCUUAUGGUUUCACUGUAUAUUACUUUUAAUAUAUAAUAGAUGAGAUAUAUGUUGUUAUGAAUAAUCAAAACCAUCCGGAUUAGUUGCACAUUCAACUAUGGCUCGAGAGGAGAUGACGAACCACUCGAAACCAAAUUCAAAUGACCACGCACGAUGACGUGGUGUUAUAAUUAAGUGCAAUGUUAAUGCAAUCAAGUUAAUUGGAAAAUUUAGGAUGGGAAUACCCCUGGACUUAAUUGGGCCAAUUAAAGUUAAACAUUUUUAGGUAAAAAUACCGUUGGGCUUUAAAAAGGCCCAGUUAGUCUCAUCCGUUAGAUCGGCCAUAUAAUACACGUGCUCUGGUGUAUUAUAAUGCACCGUAAAAUUUCCCUUAUAAAUACAUAAUAUCAAUUACAUUUAUUCCAAUUUUUGAUUUUUUGUAAAACGCCAGCUAACAUUUUUCUAGAAUGCUAUCAACAUUUUUAGUACUAUAUGUGGAAUUUUUCAGAAAAAUCAUAAAUAUUUUUUAAAAAUGCCAUGAACUUAUUUUCGAAACACGUGAACAUUUUUCCUGGCUCUCUAUGUAUAUGUAUGUGGCUGGAAAAAGAUAGUUGGUUGAGGUGGUAUAGCAUCCAUGGUAUGCAGAACAUGGUUUUGCCACCGCUGAUAUACAUCCUGACGAACUCAUAUAUAUCUUCAACACCUACACUAUCCGUCCUAUUCCCAGACGACAAAAAUUACACAUAAUCAUUUUUGUUUUGUUUUUUCUCUCUAGAUGCAACUAACUAACAGCGCCAAACCAAUUCCAACCAAGCACCAACUAAACCUCCAUUUCUUCGGCGUGCUGGAUCACAAGGACAAUGUGGUACGCGGACACGAGGAAAAAGUGCAUCGUCCUCUCAAAUUCUCAAUGUAGGAGAGAUCAAGACUCAAUGUAGGAGUUCUAUAUUUUGGUCUAGUUUGGCGUAAAUACGGCAUGGGGCCUCUUCAAGGUCUCUGGGCAUGGCGAACUGGAGAGCAGUGCAUGCCCAACAUAUGGCGCUCGCUUGACGCCAUGGACGACCAGGAGGGAGGCCUCAUAUUCUCCGCCCAACUUGAUCCGAUGAGGGCGGGCUUCGAUCCUACUCUGAUCAGCUUCCCUGUUCCAGCGCUAAUUAGUCGCCUUCUCGGAUGGAGUAACAACAGUGGCCAAGGAAGGCCGCAGGGAUUCGUGAUGGUCGCCGCCGCCGCUGUUGCUCUUUACGUGGCUGCACUCUUUGUUUCUGGUCAGCAGCCUCGCCGGCGACGUCUGGCUGCUUCUGCUGCAGCUAGGCCAACUUCUGGUAUGCAGCUUGUUUCAUUACUUCAUGGCUCAAGUUCUUUUCAUGUGCGAUUUGAUUUGCAUCCAUGGAUUUGUCUGCAGCAGCCAGACCUCGUGCUCUCCCUCUGCCUGCGCCGGACGGCGGGCUCCUCAGAAUACUGUCAGGGAAUAAUGUAAGUCGUGAUCCUAAGCUAGAGCUCCUGUUUCAUUUCUUGAUCGUGGCAAUCCAACCACCUCUAAUUUCUUGUCCAUGGGUUCGAAGCACGAAUAUCUGGAGAAGGUGGUCCACAGCGCGUCCAUCGGUGCCCGGGACGACGACGAGCCGGUUCCGGUCGCAAGAGUUCAGAGCAUGCUGGACAAGGAGCAGGAGGACGAUGUCGAGCGGUUCAAGGAGUUGUGGCUGUCGCUCGUGGAGCGGGAGCAGAGGCUAGAGCUCCAGCUGAUGCACCUCGACGGCCUUAGAGAGCAGCUCGAGCACCGCCUCAGCGUCGCCGCCCUGGAGACGUGGAUCCUGAAGCUCGAUGCCUUGCUACUCCAUGAGGAGAACGAGAGGCUCAAGGCCCAGGCGGCGGAGCUGGAGGCCGUCCGGGCCCAGCUGGGUCGCGCCAAGGAGAAGCUUCGUGCACUCAAGGAGCGGGUGCAGAUCGAGCGGGAGGAGUCUCAGAGGGAGGCGGCCACGCCCCGGGACAAGGUAAUGCAGCUGGAAAAGUCCGGCGAGAACAGGGAAAGGGUGUUGGCUGCGGAGGCGGCGACGCUACGGAAGGCCAAGGCUGGGCUGGAGGAGGAGAACAUGGAGCUUGCUCGGAGGCUGCAGCAUGUGGAGCAGGUCUCCUCCUCUGUUACUAUUAGUCUGGUUGAUGGGGUAACUGCAUUCCUAAUUCUCGAUUUCAAUUCAACAUUUUCUGCCAUUUCGUCUAAAUUUGUGAAAAUUACUACUCCCCCGACCCGUUCCAUAAUAUGUAUACUUGAUACUUGUCGCGAACGACAAGUAUUAUGGAACAGAGGGACUGCAUAUCAAUUUCUCCAGAUUUAUGUGUCGAUUGUUGACUGGUUUCCAGCUUUGGUCAAGUGAACAAAGUUAUCUUCUGGGAGAGAGAAACUAAAAAAAAA